UUUUUUUUUGUCGGAUACGGCGUAUGCAAUGCACGUCUAUACAUAGCGACCAGGAUACACGGACUACUUCUGUAGUUUCAAGAGAAAGAUCGAGAGGGCCUAGCAAAAUUUUUCUCCAGGUAUAUGCGUGCCGGGUCGUGCAAGUACACGUACGUUAGCUUUUUCUCCAGAAAAGUGUAAGUGGGCAUCCAGGUGCACCCUCACCUGUGUGAAUGGCCGUUGACUGAACCUUAAGAUUUGCUAGAGAAGAAAAAACGAAGCAGCAGCUAUGACUACGAGCAGUGUCGUACUGAACUGGACGUCCAACGGAAUUUUACUCUGGUAGUUGACUGGUUCCUCUUCGUCCUCCUCUAGCUAUCAUGUACUAUUGGUUUCUCCAAUUCUCCUCUCCCUUUCCACGCUAAACCUGCUUGGCUCUUUCUCACCGCUGGCCGUGUUCAUGAUCGACGGUUGGCCACGGCGUUUGGAUCUCGAACCAGGCACAGGGGAUAGAUCCAGAAUAUCUGAAUACAAGAACCGCUUCUUCCAGCUAGUUUACUUGCUUGAUCGAGACUGGCAGCAAUUUACGUUUGUUUCUUCAAAAAUCAAACCGGUGCGCCGUGCGCGCGUAGGUAUGUAGGAAAGCCUCUUCGACGGCCCAAAUUGACACCUGAAGAUGCACGCCGAGACGGUGAUUUUUUUUUAUAUUUGUUCUUUUAUGAAAUAAAUAGCCGAUUUAAAAGUUUGCAGAAAUAGACCCCUACCGCCGAAUUAAACGGCGGAAGUAAACUACCGCCAGUUGAAUCGGCGGUAACUUCCCCCACUGGACAGUGCACUUUUAAAAAAUUAUAACUAAUUCAUAUAAAUUCGUAUGGAGAUAAACUUUAUAUAAAAAUUGUAGAUCUCGACGAGAUCUAUAACUUUGUAGUUCAAACUUUUUUCAUUUCGUGUCAUCUUGGUACUCAAAUAAUCGACACAAGUUUAGAUCUAAAAUUCAAUUUUAGAAUUUUAGAUCUGAAAAUUGUGUCAAUUAUUUGAGCACAAAGAUGGCACAAAAUGAAAACAAUUUGAACUACAAAGAGAUAAAUCUCAACGAGAGCUACAAUUUUUAUAUAAAACUUAUCUCUAUCCGAUUUUAUAUGAAUUAGUUAUAAUUUUUUGAAUGUGUGCUGCCCAGUUUAAGAUCUAAAAUUCAUCUGAAACUUGUGUCGAUUAUUUGAGUACCAAGAUGACACUAAAUGAAAAAAUUUGAGUUGUAGAGAUCUACAAUUUUCAUUUAAAGUUUAUUUCCAUUCAAGUUCAUAUGAAUUAGUUAUAAUUUUUUGAAUGUGUACUUUCCAGAGGGGAAGUUACCGCCGGUUGAACUGGCGGUAGCUUGCUUCCACUGUUUGAUCCGGUAGGGAUCUAUUUCUGCAAAUUUUUUAAUCGACUUUUUAUUUCUGCAAAAUUGUAAAAGAAGAAAUAUAAAAUAAAAUCCCAAGACGGUAGACGACCCAUUUACGGGGAUGACGGCCCAUUUACAUGCCGCCACUCGUUUCUACUUAGUCUUCUUCUAUCCAUUGUCCUCUGAAGAAUACAAGAAACACGACAUUUUGUUUUUCUUUGGAGAACGAAGCCAGAAGUCAUUGUCGCAGACCUUCUUUUCAUGCGAUCGCAGUGGAUUCUUCCUAAUCGAGCACAGCGUAACGCCAUUGCCGCCGUCUCUCAUAGUCUCGUACCACACUGGUCCAGAAAAGAGCCCAACUAGCCCAGAUCCCAAAGCCCGCCCGCGAGAAAACACAGUCCGGUGGUGGGGGCGCUUGCCGCAUUAGCAGCAACCGAGCCCACCGCUCUGCGCCGCGCAGCCGCAAGACGACACCGGGGCGACGAGGUGACCGCCUGCCCGCCUGGUGUCUCACCCAGUCACCCUGUCACGUAGGAGUACGCUCUGAGGUCUGAGCUCGACCUGUCAAAGCCGCCGUGCGUACAGCGCCGAAACGACGCGCGCGGCCCCUGCCCGCGUCCGUGUUGCUGCCGCUGGCUGGUGCAGUGGUCAGUGGUGCUCAGCCGCUCAAGAGAGAACUGCUUCCUGGCGGACGUCGCAGCCUUACCCGAACCACCAGGCUCUCGCCAGUCGCCAGGCUCCCUCCCUCCCCUCCUUGCCCCUUUCAAACGCGGACGCGAACGCGAAGGCGAGCGGUUUCCCAGGCGAGGGGAACGAAAGGGACGCCACGUCACGUCGUUUCGGAAAUCAUGGCGGGCGAGGCAACGGUCGCCUACACCUAGCACUAGCAGUAGCAGGCUAAUAGCAGCUCGCAGUCGCAGCGGCAGCAGCGGCCACCAGCAAAUGUCACGCUCGAGCACACUGACACCGCACAAGGACUUGCGCCCCUCUCGGCUCUUGACCCCUCUUUUGUCCGGCGCGCGCGCAUGGGCCGCCUCUCUUUAUAAGCGACACAACCGGCCACAACGAACCGAGUGCCACGCUCGCCGGAGAAGCUAGCCGCGCGCAGCCAGCUCUGCAUCCGCUGCGCUUCUUUUGGCGGCGCGACGGUGGGGGUGCGCGGUGGAGAUGGCGGCGGCGACCGCUUCGUCUUCGUGGGCGCAGGCCGUGAGGAGGGCGCUGCAGGAGGGCGCCGCCACAGCGACGUCGUACGCGCAGCGAGCCCAGAAGCAGGAGGCGGCGGGGUCCGCGGCGGCCACGGUGAGGUCGGUGCAGACGCUGGUGGUGAUCGUGGCCGCGAUCGUGCUCGCCGCGGUGCUGGCGGGCGUCCUCGCGCGGGUGUGCGGCGGCCGGUACGUCGUGCCCAGCGGGGAUGACCGCGACAUCGAGGGCUGGAUCGAGAAGCGAUGCCGGAGCUGCCUCGACAGCGGGCUGCCGCCGCCGGCGCCGGCGCCGGGGUCGGCAAAGAUGAGUGAGGCCAAAUAGUGCUCUGUGCAUUGUGUUAUUACUGCAGUAGUAGUAUAGUAAGUAAUAGUAAUACUAGCGGCUGUGUAGGCAUUGCUGCAGGCUGCUGCAAUUCAGCCACGCAGGCUACCUGUACACGAGUAGUACGAGAUUAGAAUCAGGAUUAAUCCUCUCUGUAAUAUUUUUGUAAUGAUAGAUUAGUAGCCGAGAUAAACGGCCAAGAAUCGAAUGUUAGUGUCAUCGUGAGUUUUAUGCCAAGGUUAUUAUGGAAAAAUCAUACGCGCGAAUCAGUCAUCAGUGAUGGUACUACUACCAGAUGAUCCAUGUGGCCAAUGUUCCAAUAAACCCAAACAGGAACAGCACCCGGAAUACCAAUGUGAAACGACAUUUUCUUCUCAGGGAACUGAUCGGUAUUACAUGACGUGCCAACGACUUCACAACAGGCAGUAUAGUUUUGUUGUUCCUCGCACGUGUACACCCAAAGCCAAUGGAUCGAGUUUUUACAACCACAACUCCAAGUGAAGUUUAGAAAUCAUCCAUUCGCCAGAGGGGAUAGCUUCCACUAGCAAUUUCACUGAUACAGAAAAAGAAAAGGUCAGCUUCUGAAAGGCUCAGAGUCAACCAUCAGAGAGUGUAUAAGCUUUGCAGUUCUUUACCUCAGGAUAGCAGUCCUGAUGUACUAUGGUUUGGUUGUGUGGAUUAACAUGCACCACACAUGAUAUUCUCCCCUGCAAGAAGCCAAGAACAAUCACGAAAGAGUUCAGAAUCAGUACAUGUAGAUCAAAGACUGCAAGCAGGGAACCGAUAACGUGCACUCCUGGACAAUCCUUAACACAAAGAGGAAUGGGUGGUUCUUCAGUCAAAUCAGUCAUAGUGCAUAACAUACAAAUGCUACUCUAUAUUCAUCAAUCUUUUGUUUAGUGUAACAAAAAAUUCUGAGUCAACAAGCAAAACACCUGGCUAUAGCUUGUGGAGGGCUACAGUAGCGGUUGGAACUCACAGAUAUUGCAGAAACAACCAAUGGUUGGGUUACAAAGUAUUUUAACAAAAUAUACAGCUUAAAUCAAGUAACAACCCAACCUCUCAAAAAUUCCCUCCACUCGUACAAAAAAUUUGAAACAAGAAUAUUCUUUGAUAGUCUUACAGUUUUGUUACCACAGCUCUAUGUUAACAAUCCCCCUAUAUUACAGCAAUACAAUUAUACAAAUACAAACAUAGAAGUACUGCUCUAAACAUGUGAGGCAAAAAGGAUAGCAUGAAAACUAGUUCCAUCAGAUAAUUGCAGUUGUUUUCCAUAGGUUAAAUUCCAGAACCAUGCCUGCUGCAAUGGAGGAAGCGUGUUUUAUGGGGUAAAACAACCACUGCAUCCUGUAACGACUCUAUGCUUAUCGAAUCUAAGAAGGCCAGUUCAUAUUUUACUAUAGUAGAGACCACAUCAAAAAAAAUUUCACUAGCAGCAAACACAUCUUUAUGGAACAAGGAGCAAAAGCGUGUGUUGACAGCAAACAGGGCAUGUGCUGAAAAGAUGCCACACUGAGCUUUAUGGCAACCAAAGAAAGUGAAAAUAACAACUUGGUGGGACUUGGUAAGAACUAAGAGCCUGACAAGGCUAUAUGGGCCCAACAAGCACCUUAUAUUGCCAGGAAAUAGUUAGCUUUUGCUGGUAAGGAAUACUCAGAGACAGACUAAUCUCUGCGUCCCUGAGUUCCUACAGAGAACACAACAAGUUAAGAAUUGUUUGUUACAUGUUUGAUAAGCCUGAAACUUGAUGGUGGAAUCUUUAAAUGAUAAGGGGACAGGGGGAGGGGGCCAAUUGCCCCAUCAAGGUUUUGCAGUGGUAACUUCAUGGCAGAAGGGCUGGUAGGAUUGUCUAAGCACGUUAACGAUAGAUCUUAUUGAAAUGUUUUUGAUUUGCUCAUUCCCCCCAGAAGCAUACUUCCCAAACUCCCUUCCAAGUAUAAUAUCCUUUUAGUCAUUCUUGAUUUAAGAACAUCAGAUUAGGAAAAAAACAACAUGCAUGCUACACUGUUUUAUCUGUUCAAUGAGGCGCACUGUUUUAUCUGUUCAAUGAGGUGCUUGAUUGUUUCCUGACAAGUUACAGUACAGUGCAAGAGGGAUAAAAAUGGAAAGGGCAAGCUGCAAAUAUGUUGAUUAAUAGUGACUUUUUGCUUGAGCAAAAGCCUUCAUUUGGGCAUGAAAAACAAAAUAAUAAAGCAAUAUAGCAUAAAAAAUUCCCAGCAAUUCCAGAUCUAGCUAGAUCAAUACAGAAGUGGAUACCAUGAAGGUGUACAUUCAACUAUGAAAACUACUAGAGCUGUAAAUAUCAUUAAUUUUCAUGUCCAGUUGGAAGUGAAAAGUGAUAACAGUUAAAAACACACAAAAAAUGGACGUUCAUAACUCUUCUCGCGUGUUAGAUCAAUUAUUACUCUUCCUCCUAUUAGGUGCUCCUCAAGUCAUUGAUUGCAAUUAUAACUGGAAUCAGUCACUCCAGCCAAAGCUAAACAUGGGGCAUGAAAUCUGGAUAACAGAAGCCUCAACUGGAUCACAUAUUUGCUUCAAAUUCAUCAAAACAACAAUAAUUUUUGAUGACCAUGCAUUCUUAAAGUGAUAUGUUGCUGAUCAUGACAAAAACAAUGAUGAGUCAAUACAAGAUGAUUAUCUCAUUCUUAAAGUAGUUAUGGCAUAUCUCAUUUGUUCUUUGUAACGUUUAGUGACCCAUGACUUAGAGAAUUAGACCAUGCUCCCUGAUAAACAAUACACCAUGAUACCAAACCAGAUGCUUUUGAAUAUGAUGGCCAUACCAUGCUUCACCGAUGAAAGAUAUCUAGAUUAAUGCAAGAUAAUUGUGUAAACCUUAUUUCCUCACAUAAUUGUUAGCUGCAUUGUCAAAAUGCAUUAGCCAUUAUAUGGACCUUAAGAAAUAUGUCAGAUAGACUAUACGGCGUGCUAAGCUCUAGUCGGCGGCUAAAAUUCCAACUUGCUUCACCAGAUGUCAAUAUCCUAGCAAAUCUAUGUUGUAGAUAUAUGGGGCUUUCACAUUACCAAAAGAUGCAAGAGAGAAUGGCGUCUAAGCCUGAAAACUCAUAUACAGAUUCUAAUCCAAUUAACGAGAUUUGCAUAUAUUAUAUAGCCAAAGCAAUCAACACUUAGGGUUGCAGCGGCUGAGCGGCGGGCACCUUGACGGGGACGCUGAGGAACAAUAAGUGGAGGUGGCCCUCGACUUCGACGACGGUGUCGAAGGGCACGGACCCCCGCGCGAGGUCCUCGAGCAGGUAGAUCGCGUCCUCGACGACGCGUAUCCCGUCGAGCUGCAGGUCGGCGUCGACGUACGAGACGGCGCGGGCCCGGACGCGCCCGCCGCCGGAGGUGACCCGCCCGAGCCGCGCGCCGCGGUAGCCGAUGUCGACGUCGAGGCGGGAGUAGUCGAGCGCGAAGAAGUCCGGGUUGCGGACCCGGACCUUGAGCGCGGCGGAGAUGUUGAUGGCGACGGCGGGGCGCGCCACGACGGAGACGUGCGCGAGGCGGAGGCGGGCGAGGGAGACGUCCGGGUCGGCGGGCCAGAGGAGGAAGCCCGCGAGCGCGAGGAGGAAGAGCGCGGUGAGGCCGGGGGCGACGCAGCGGCCCCCGCGGCGCAGGCGGCGGCGGAGGCGGACGGGGACGAGGAGCACCGCGUAGGAGUCGGCGGGGUGGUGGUCGAGGUAGGGCUGCGGGGAGGCGGAGGAUGGGAGCAGGGGAUCCCGCUCCCCCCGGGGGGGUUGCGUGGUCUUCGCCAUGGGGAGGGGGGCCGGUGGGUGAGCGCGGGAUAGCGGGGCGGGGGUGGUGGACUGGGCUGGUGAUGUGGAGCUUUGCUCAGGCGUAGCUUGGAAGGGGAGGCCAAGGAAGAGGGGAAAGCGGUUGAUUGGAAGUUGGGAGUGGAGGGAGGCCCGCCGCCGGAGCUCGUGAGGAUGCGGGCUCCUGGUUGGUGGCUUGGCCUUGUUCGGUAGCGCCCCUAGUGCUGUCUCUGUUUUGGAUGUUUGGGUGCUUGCUUGACGAUGACGCGUGACGGUGUGAAGUGAAAGGGAAAUUUUGUGGCAGGCAGGCGCCACGCGUUGGAGAUGGCGUCCAGUUUGAGGAAGGCAAGCUCCCAAAGUCACGAGCAGCUCGUGCCUUCAUUCAUGACGAGGAGGAAGGCAAAAUCCAAAUAUGGGCGCAGCUCCUGCGUAUUUGAAAUCUUUCACCUUUCACCACAAACAACAACGCAUAACUUUUCCCCUAAACAACGGUACACAUACCCUCCUAUGCGAACAAUGUCACUCAUCUCUAUAAAUACGACGUAUAGUAUUCUACCUUUAUAUAAGUACCUCAUUCUCGACCAUAACAUCCACCACUAAUUGAGUAACUAGUAAAGUGAGAAUUUGUGCUAAAUUGAAGAUUUGAAUACGGUCGAACAAAUUACAUCACAAAAAAGUUAACCUACGAUCAGUUCUCAAGGCAAACUCUACGCAUUACAAACUAAAAAAAUCGGAAAAAAAAUCACAUAAGUGCCGGAUUCGAUACUAUUAGAGGGGAACAUUUGCACGCACAUUAUGCCUUUCGCCCUCGUUAAAUCAUGCCUCACGAUGUUUGUGUUAGUUUGAUAUCAGUUUUAAAUUUACACAAUUUUUAGGUACUACAGUAGGGACAGCUUUUAACUACCCCACUGAUACACGAAAAAUCAUUUGCGCACAACUCAAAGAGUGUUCUAGAUACAUUAGAUUGUUAGCUCAAUAACUCCUAAAUCCUAAAUUAGUUGUGUGCGGUCGGAAAUAAUUCUAUUAUUUUAAAAAUAGCUCCAAAAUAUAUUAGGGUAAUCUCAGUGCACAAUUUUAUUGCACUGUUACCAAGACUAGGAACUAGAUGAAACUCCUCUCACAUAUGAUGAAACUCCCCCUUCUUUCUCUUCAUAAAGAUAUUGCCAAGUCAGCAAAAUUGCUGAUGUGAUAUAAAAUUUAAUGUUCUUAAAAAUUCCAUUUGAAAUUGUCAAGCUAACUUGUUUUGAAUCCGACGCUCUGGUUGGUAAGGAAACGAGAAAGAAAAAAAAACUAAACGAGCUUAGUGGAAAGGCUCACGAACCGGCAGAGCUUAGUGGAAUUGCACAUGACGAGCCCCAUGAAUGAAUUUACCAACUUACUGUACAUCCCAAUACAAAGCCAUCACGAUCUAUCGAUUACAAAGUUGUUAAAGAAACAAGCAAAAGUACUAGAUCAGCUUCUUGUUAGGCUCACACUAGCCAGCUCAUUGGUACAUGUGAAUAGAGAGCGCCACGAAUGAAUUUCCAUCAAGAUAAAAAAAAGGAAAAAAUACAUCACGAUCUAUUCUUGUCAAAUAGCUCGAGUUUUUUUUUUAUAUUUUUUUAUGGGCGUUGCUAGCGCUCGGACGUCCGAUGCGAACUUUCCCAUCGGACGCUCCGUUGCAACAUUCAAAAACAACAUCUGCAACAUCGAAAGUAUGAGGUUGCAACAUUGAAAAUAUGCGAAAAUCGUUCAAUGUAAACAUCAUUUUUUAUUAAAAAAAUUCCCACCGCACAUCAACGCAUGUUUCAUGCAACAUUUUCAAACAAAAAAUCACCAUAUGAUAGGUUAAACACUUGCAACAUGUGUGCAAAGCAUAUGCAACAUCUAGAUCUACUUUGCAACAUCAACAUGAAAUUCUUGCAACAUUUUUCUGAAACAUCCGAAACACGUGAAACAUACACUUGCAACAUGCAGAAACAUCUCGUUGGCCAUGGAGACCGCUUCCCGCCACGCGCGCCCAUGGCUGCUGGCCUCGCUCACUGACAGCCUCGCUGCGCCAUGCCGGAUGUGGCGGACGGCGACGCAGAGGAGGUUGGGGCCACGCCCGAGAGGAUGCGGAUGACGAGCUCUAGGCGCGGGGGCCUCCAUGGCCGGCGAGACGGGGGCGCGGUCCGGGCACGGCGAGGUGCCUCCAUGGCUGGCGGGGCGGGGGCGAGCUUCGGGGCACAGCGGCCUCCAUAGCCGGCAAGGUGGGGGCGAGGUCCAUGCGCGGCGCCCGCCAUGGUCAGUGUGGCGAGCUCCAAGGAGAAAGCAGAGCAGGAGUGAAGGAUUUUGGGGAAGUAUAGCGGGCAACCCAGCAUGCAGCACUGCAACAAAUAGAUAACUCUCGAUUGGACUUGAGCUUGCAACUAGCUUGGUUGAAAUGAUACUUCGGGUCCGUCGCCCUGACGCCGUUUGAGUGGACCUGAGCGUCCGAUAUUUUCCGUCCGCGUCGGACGUAGGAUGGUUAGCAUUACCUUUUUUUAUAUAUCGGUGUACAACAAUAUCAAAAGAGACCGGUAAAAGAACAUAGUACGAACUACUACGUCCCAUGAUAUUACAACUCGAUGAGCUUUUUCAUUUUUGCUGAUCGGAUGGUUUAGAAAAUAGCUGUACUACACAAAAGUACCUUUCCAACUUUCUUAUAUCCGUGUGCUAGUUCAUUCAAGAGAAGCUAUCAAAUAUAUUAUCAAUUGUAUAAUUUAUGACCACCUUAUACAGUCUACUAUUCAAAUUUUAAACACCCAGCUUAUAAUUUAUAAAAACUUCACAGCUUAUAAUAAAUUGGGAGGAUCUAAAGACGUGAAGUGAGGUAUAUGAGGUUAUCCAGUAUAUGAGGUUAUUCAACAUCGCCUUGCGUCUGAUUUUGGAGCGUAGAGCAUCACAGGCUCACAGCCACUCUUCCCAAGUCAAGUCCGACCGCGACCACGUGCUUCGGCAUCUCCUCCGCCGGUGCCAUCAGCCCGGCAGCUGCGCGCCUGCGCCGUCGAUCCGCCGUGGCGGAGUCAACAGCCCUGCGGCGUGCUCCGUUCCAGAUCCCAAACGGCAAACGCCACGCCACUCCCUCUCACCGCGACGACUGACCGACCGCCAAGGACGCGCACGCUCGCUCGCUCCAAAGCCCGUACGCCACACACAAUCUAACCACGCCACGAGUUGCUGAGAAGUGAGACCGGACCGACUCGACUCGACGAACUCUUGGCUCCAAAGCUUUCCCGGCCAGCAGCAGCGUCCCUUCCCCUACCCCCGCGAUCGAGCCGUUGGAAUCGCGCGUCUCGGGCGGGAUCCGGCGCGGCCCCGGCCCCGAUCCGAUGCUCUCCGGCGGCGACGACGGCGUCCCCGACGGCAUCGGGAUGGCGCGGCUCGCGUGGACGCGCCUCCCCACCGCGGACGCGGAGGGUGCGGGGGCGGGGCCCUCCACCUCCGCGGCGGCGGCGGACGACGAGCUCUUCUCCGCCGCGGCCGUCGAGAGCCUGGACUACGAGGUCAUCGAGAACUACGCGUACCGGGAGGAGCAGGUACGCGCACGCGCACGCGCACGCGCCGCGCCCCCAUCCGCCGCUGUUCGAGCGUGUGGUUCUGGUGUGCCGUCAGCUCAGUUGCUUGUUUUGCUGGGUGGGUGCAGGCGCAGCGGAGCAAGUUCUGGGUGCCCUACUACGUCAUGCUCAAGUGGCUGUUCUCGCUGCUGAUCGGCGUCGGUGAGCGGCUCUCAGUUUGAUCCUUUGUCGUGUUUUAAUUAGUGGUUUGUCCGAUUCUAAGAGCUUGGUGUAGUAGUGGCGAUUUCAGAGGUGUGCGAGUAGAGUCUGACAUUUGUUUAUUGAAUCUGGUUUUCCUUGUGCAGUCUAGUUGCCCUGACUAAACCUAUUUAUCACUGGGAAUCUGUUUAUCCCAGUGAUAUAAACAUCACCAAAUCAGUGAGCUUAACUACACAAAAUGUAGUUCAGACGAGUCUUGCAUUUUGGAUAUGGUUUCCUCUCAUAUCACAAAUGCUACAUGCCUUUAUGUCAGCCAAAUAAAAAUGCGCAACAAAAAAACCUAACUCAAUUGUUAGGAGAGUCCAGAAUAUGAAAAAGAAAAUCGGCUGUAUACAAGGUUCAGAUGCCCUUGUAGCUUAGGCUCUAUAAUUGCUAAAAGGUGGGGCGUGGUGGUGACUGCUGCGUACCAGUUAUAAUUUAGCAGGAGCACAUAUGGGUUAAUAGUUAAGCAGGAUGUUUGCUGCUAAGGUGCACAGUUUCUGUUUAAUGAAACUUGGACAUUCUUGGUAUGCACAUUAUAUAUGGCACUGUUGCUUCUAAAUGUUAUACUGCUAUUUUUGUGAAAGUGGAAUCCUGGAGUAUCGUUUAGCAUUUGUUAUCUACCAUAAAUUACAAAUUUCCCUUAUCUUUAUUGCAACUGAAAUUUUAUCCUCUAUUUAGUUAAAAUUAAUUUUGACCAUAAAGUCAUAUUAACUAGCAAGUUGGCCCACGCUAAUAGCGCGGCUAGAUUUGAUACACUAUUUUUAUUAUAAAUUUGAUGUUGGCGUAAUCUAUUUUUUGUUCCUCCAUCUCUUGGCAUUAUUAAGUUUCUUAUGUCCCCCUGAGUCUACACAUUGUAUAUCAAGCUGUAUGCGUAGAUAUACUUUUUGUGAAAAUAAACUUUGUAGCCACAUGUGCAUAUGCAUGCCUAAUCAACAUCACUUGGUUGUGACAACAUGAGAACUUAGGUACUCCCUCCGUUUCAAAUUGUAGGUCGUUUAGCUUUUUUAGGUUCAUAGAUAUUAUUAUGCAUCUAGAUAUAGUGUAUGUCUAGGUGCAUAAUAAUAUCUAUGAACCUAGAAAAGUCAAAACGACCUACAAUUUGGAACGGAGUGAGUAGAUGAUUCUUAUCUCAUGCAGCAUUUUUUUGCGCCACCACUCACAUGAAUAUAUUAUUGCUUUUGUUGUGCUGAAUCUAAUAACGUAGUCCCCGGUUCUGUUUGAAGACCAUGUAAAGAGAAGGAUACAAAGCAAAACAAACAAUCACAUAUUCAUAUCAACUAACCAUAUGCUUCCUCUAACAUCUCAGCAAAAACCGUUUCUCCCGAUUUCAGCAUGGUGACUUGGUGAGAUUUCUCCUUACUUUCCUCCUCUCAUUCUCCUUGCACAAUCAAAGAUGGUCCUCGCCACAAACCGCUUGGAUUUGAUCAACAGAUUCAUCAUCAUCCACAUCCAUUAUUUAGAUCCAGCGACCAGCACCAUCUAGAUUUGACUUGAUCGGGUUUCAUCAUCACAUUCCACAAUCAAGGACGAUCGUCACCACAAACCCCUUAUUGUCUUUGUGCAAAACAGAAUCUGCUCUUCUUAAGCUUGCUGAACACAUCUCUCCACAUCUUUUAUUCCACAAAACCAUUGUUGUUCGGCUCCCACAUAGGCUCUUCUCUUUUUCAGGUUAACGUGGUAAUUUCUAGCCCCUAUCAGUGAACGUGGUGGCUUCUUUUAACACUAUUGUAUUAAGAUAAUAGAUAUGGACAAGCAUUGCAAUUAAUUUAUGCCAUUUACCAUUAUUUGAUUCCCAGAUAGCGAUACAGGAAAAAUUUAUUAUGCUUAAUGUUAUUAAAAUGUGCCUAUAGUAGUUCUUUUAUAUUUUACAUUAAUGUGAAUAUCUAGAAAAAUGUUUGGAAAACUUGAUGGAUUAGAGUGGGCAGCAUGUUACCCAGUUGCUGUACAAAUAAACAUCAUGAACUCACAAAUAUAGUACCUAAACAUAAAGAUUGGCUUUUGCAGGGUUCAUAAAAGAUUGGUAUAAGACUAUAAGCAUAACAGAUGUCGUAUGAUUCAGCUAAUUGGAAGCAAUGCCUCAUGAUUUAUUGGAUUGGGAAAUAGAGCCUCUAAGCAUAUAAGACGUAUAUCUGCUAGUGAAAUAUAUUUUACACACCAAGUUUUACUUGCACUGUUCCCAGUUCUUUCCACUAGUUGAUUCUUCUUGCAUUUGAUAUCAUUUUCUGUUUUGUAGGUACUGGAUUAGCUGCUAUAUUCAUAAAUCUGGCUGUUGAGAACUUCUCUGGAUGGAAAUAUACUGCAACAUUUGCUAUAAUAAAACACUCAUAUUUUGUGGGAUUCUUUGUGUACACUGUUUUCAAUUUAGCCCUUGUCUUCUCUUCUGUAUACAUAGUCACAAACUUUGCUCCAGCAGCUGCUGGAUCUGGUAUUCCAGAGAUCAAAGGUUAUUUAAAUGGUAAGGUUUAAUUACUGAAACAUCUGGUACUGAUACUCUGAGAAACUGGUGAUGUAGUUUGAAGUCUUGAUGCAGGAGUGGAUACACAUGGAAUCCUACUUUUCAGGACAUUAGUUGGGAAGGUGAAUUCAUACUUACUUUCUUCAGCUAAUAUGAUGACCGCGAACUGAGUUUCAACUUUCAACUAACUGAACUAAGUAUUAUAUUCAUAUAUGCUGAUAGAUCUUCGGGAGUAUUGGAUCAGUUGGAGGUGGAUUGGCUCUAGGAAAAGAAGGGCCUCUUGUUCAUACUGGGGCCUGCAUCGCUUCUCUUCUUGGACAGGUGGGUUUGUGAUCGAGAUCUGAGCAUCUGCAUUCAACAUUAUCUUUUCCACAAGUUAUAGAUGUGUCCUGAAAGGGGUCAUAGGUGAGUACACAAAUCAUCAAUGUUGAAAAGUAAAAAAUGACUCUUCUCUAGCAUCAAUUUAGGAAAGCCUUGGAUACCUCAAUAAGUUGUGGCAUUCAACAUGACGAUUCUUAUGUUCACACGCUGUUAACUUUCGGUGUGACCAUGUAGAAUCAUAGAACGAUUGACUACUGUAUGAAGCACACAGUUCAUACUACUACAGUCCUUCCCUGGAGUGCCUAUAUGUUGUGCUUUGGGGGUGGGGGGGAUCCGUGAUACUCAAUAUGAUGCUUACAACAUCAGUUGAUUGAUCGCUCUAUAGGCCACCUGUACUUUGAGCUACUGUUUACUGGUCCAACAUAAUUUGUACACAAAGGCCAACACCCAGCAAAAAAGAGAUAUGGCAGCAGAUUAGCCUUUUCAUUCUUCAUUUCCAUUUGGCAGUAUUUGAUUGAUAUGCUACAUAAAUGCUUAUUAGUUUAUACUGCCAACUAAUUCUAAUCUGCAUGUGCAUAGGGUGGAUCUGCAAAAUACCACUUGAGUUCUAGGUGGGUACGGAUUUUUGAAAGCGAUCGUGAUCGGCGGGACCUUGUAAGUUACUUUUGUUCAGGCAAUUUAUUAACUUACCCUCUGUGUAGCUGUUAAAUAGAGUCACUCAUGACUAAUUUUGUCACUCUACGUUUAAUAUUAAAAAUAUCUUGAAUUGAUGAAUUCAUUGGUUUCCUCGUGCCAUUUAGUUUUACUUUCCAAUUAGGCCAUCCUGUUGACCUAAAAAGAUUGGACUGGACUGUGUAAACAAAUGCAAGCCACUCGUAGCCUGUUUGCAGCCCAGCAGAAAGUUGAGUCUAGCCUGGUUCCAGAACUAUUUGGGUAGUACAGAAAAUGGAUACUGUAUUAUUUGCUGAAACAUUUACCAUACCUUAAUAAUGUUGAACAAGAUCGUCUGAGUGGAGUGGUUCACAUGUGAAUGUUUUCUUGUUUGGCAUGCCAUUCAAUUGCAAGACUUGAUUACUUAGGCUUUAGACACUCAAGUCUAUCCUUUUUUAUCCUAGUGUUAUCAAAUAGCAGGUAUAUCUGCUUGCAAUGCUUAAGUGGUUAAAUGGCCCAGCUGCUGCUUCUCUGUUGAAAUGUGAGGGCUGAUAGGAAGCACCACUGUCACCCUUCCUUGCUGGUGCAUCCUUAUCUAUCACAUCUUAUUGCUUUCAUAAUUGCCAGUAUAGAUAUGUAUGACAACCAGAUAACGUUUGCUAGUACCCUUAACUUCUCUUGAUCGGUCAACCUUAAAAAAUUCAUCGGAUUUGAAUUGUCUAGAUAGAUGAAGCUGUUUCAAGCUUCUUUUUUCAUGUGGCCACUUAAUCUUUUUUUUGAGGUUAUACAACUUCAAGUUCUUUAGCCCAGUCAUGUUGAAAUUGUUAAAGCAUUCCCUCAAAAGAAAGUUGUUAAAGUAAAGCAGAUUUUUGCCAUCCUCAGUUUAUGGAACUAAAAACCAUAAGGAAAAAAAAAGAAAACAAUACAGAAAAUUAAUAAUUGAAUAGGGAAUAACCUCCUUUAAAUGUUGAUGCAUUGUUACAUAUAAUGUUGAUUGCAUUCUGAGCUUUUCUUUCAGAAUGUAUGGAUUAUAAUAUUGAAAACUCUCAAAACUAUUAAUAUUUCAAAAAGGUGACAUGUGGAUGUGCAGCUGGAGUUGCUGCAGCCUUCAGAGCUCCUGUUGGUGGGGUACUAUUUGCCCUGGAGGAAGUUACAUCCUGGUACGAAUGCUCUAUUACAUUUUUUACGUUCCUUUCAAUAGACAAAUUGAAACACAUAAUUGUAAAAUUAGCGAUUUAGAGCAACAAUAGUCCAAUUUCCAAGCUUUAGUUUACCAAUCAUCUUUUCUGAAUUUAAGAAACUACUAUUAGUUGAAGAAAUAUUGUGUUGACAAAUGAUAAUAACCAGCGCUAACAGCUCAGCUUUUGUUUGCCAACACAUAUAUUUCUUUUGUUACUUUAGCUGCUGGCAACAAUAUCUUUAGUACUAAUGCGAUUCGCCCUAUGGUUGAUUGUAACUAGUUGAAAUAACAAGAAAUGCUUUAGUAGCAGCUUCUGUUCGUUCUUGUCUCUCUGGUUUGUCGAUAACAAUAUUCUUGUUAAGUAACAUAACUUUUAUGAAGAACAUACUUAUACUCAUUUCAAAGGAUCAGUGUAUAUAUAUAUAUAUAUAUAUGUGUAUUAAAGUUUGUUGUAGCUAAAAGAUAGAAAAUUGACUGCAUGCUCCCACAUGGCGAAGAAUUUGUGUCCUGGUGCAUUUAGUGUUUCCGUGCUUACUAACUAUGGCUGUUAUACACUGCCUCAUGAUAGGCUGCGAUUCUGCCUGCAACAUCAUGAGUGCAUGAUUGCAAGGGUGCAAAUUAAUUCUAGAUUGAAUUCCAGAACAUUCUUUGAAAUAGAAGUUUAUCAGGAACUGACUAUUCGCGUAGUGCCACCAUCAAGAUCUGCAUGCCAGAACUCUACACUUAACGAGAGUGUUCAUUGUGUGUGUGGACUUGGUCAGAGGGUGGUGGGCUGCCCUGAAAUCCCAUUUUGUCGUGUUUUCUUACUCUUUUGUUUUUUCAUGCUUUUGUGUAGGAUAAAAUCGAGAUUUUAGUCCUUACUUGUAGUAGGACAUACCCGAGAUAUUGUGAAAUAUUAAGGUCAUCAUUUCACAGUUGUCUUUAUUACUAUCGAUAUUUAGUACCCAAGUGUUCAUAUUUCUGUGCAGCAACCGUUCACACUGCAUACCAAUUGAUAUCCGUUGCUCUACAUGAAAGCUUAUUUUAGAUGUCAGAAUAAUGUUUUUGAUUUUUGUGGGUACUUUUACUUUGACCUAGAGGCGUAAAGUGGAUACAGAUUAUUCAUACUGUAUUCUAUAGGAUGUGAAUAUUGUUUAGAUUUUGUUACCCGAUUAACAGUUUAUCUCCUAUUCACCAUUGGGAAACUUUAUAGGAAUAUGGGUGCAAAUGUGGUAUGAGGUUUGGGGGUUUGAAAAUGUUACUUUAUCCUGACUACUAUCAUAUUAUGUUAGUCACAUUUGCACGCAUAUUUUAUUGCAGCAUGUCUAACUAGCUGGGGUCUUACAUUUUAGUGUGAUUCAUAUUUCUUCUUGUGAAAUAACUAAAUUAAAAUGAUUAAUUGCUCUAUAUAUCAGUAUGUCUUUAAUGCCGGGAUGCAUAGAAAACUAUUAUGUUAUCCAUGUUUGACCCCAAACUGAGUGGAAUUUCGAUACAUAUUUGUGUUUGAGUGUAUUCAAAUUCACAUAGAAAAUACGAAUAGAGAUGUUUUUAAUCACUGAUUCGUAUUUGAUCAGUUUCCACCUGUACUUUGACUGUAGAAAUAACAUAUUGCUACUAUAAUAUUCAUAUUCUGCAUUGGACUACAAAUAUGAUUGUGUCCCCAUUAUAUUGCUGAAGGUGGAGAAGUCAUCUUAUGUGGAGGGUAUUCUUCACAUCUGCCGUUGUGGCCGUUGUGGUGCGUUCAGCAAUGAAUUGGUGCAACAGUGGAAAGUGUGGUCAUUUUGGAGCUGGAGGUUUCAUAAUCUGGGACAUAUCUGGGUAAGAUAACCCCCUUGCCCCAAAUCAUAUUCGUGUUGCUUCAGUCUGGAAAUUGCAUUUGUGAUAUUGAUUGUUCAUAUUCUUUGAAGAGGUCAAGAAGAUUACUCAUAUCAGGAACUGUUUCCCAUGACAAUUAUUGGUGUUAUUGGCGGACUUCUUGGUAAGUAAUUGUAUGCGAAGUUGAUCCUGUGUAUCUACAAAAGCCAAGUCAGGUUUUGCACAUAAUAAUAAUUUCUAUACUGAUUAGGACAUGCUAGUCAUUUAAAACAGCCCCCGUCUUUGCAUAGUUUAUUGUCUUCUCAUCGUGCUAGCUAAUAACCAGUUUAGGGUAACAUAGUUGCAUUGUUACAAAAUCACUGUGUGUCUGUCCGCUCUUAGGCUGCACUAUACCCAAUUCUGUGUCAGCUAGUUAAACUGCUCUUUGGCAUCUUUGUAGAGACUCCUCUAGCCAAAGUUGGAUGAAGUUCUAUGGGAAACAUAGUGCUAACUGAGUGAUGCAUGCUCGGAUGCUCCAAUCCUGAAAAGUCAUAUCCCAGUAGAUCCAAACCGAAUAAGCAGUCCUAUUACAUGUCUCAUUCUUUGUCUAAUAUUCCUGAAUCUAAUGUGCUAGUUUCUCUUUAGGAGCAUUAUUUAAUCAACUCACCCUUUAUAUAACUAAAUGGCGGCGGACAUAUCUUCAUAAGAAAGGGAAACGAGUCCAGGUAUGCUGAAGAUAUGAUGGAUUUUAGUAGUAGAAUUGCAUCUGUUCUCUGUAGUCCUAUCUCUGACAUCCAGAUUAACAUUUUCAGAUCUUUGAAGCCUGCCUUAUAUCUUUGGUAACAUCCACGAUUUCCUUUGUGUUGCCACUACUAAGGAAAUGCAGCCAAUGCCCUCAAUUAGAAACUAAUUCUGGCAUAGAAUGCCCUCAUCCACCUGGCACAGAUGGGAAUUUUGUUAAUGUGAGAUUUACUUAGUGAAUUUCUGCUCGACUUGCAUGUUCUCUUCAGCUACAUCAUCAUUUGUUUUCUUCUCUUAAUCUUUUGUUUGCAUUAUGCAGUUUUAUUGUUCAAAAGAUAAAGAAUACAACGACCUGGCAACCAUUUUCUUCAAUACCCAGGUUAAAUAUCACUGGAGAACUUUUGUUAGUCUAACGUUUUAUUGUUUCUAUAUUCGUUAUGGCUUCAUUCAACAUCAUUUUUUUGCAGGAUGAUGCAAUACGUAAUCUUUUCAGUGCAAAAACAUUCCAUGAAUACAGUGCACAAAGCCUGAUCACCUUCCUGGUACCGUCCCCCCCCUCCCCCUAAUUUGCCUAUGUAAUAUUGGACUUCCCUUUGUGGCCGUUUUUUUUGUAGGUAUGAUUGUGCUCUAGGGCUGGAAAAAACUAUAUUUUGCUGAACUUUUGGUCAUAUGUAUUUAUUUAGGCUACAUUGUUGUCACUGUUAUUUGCUGUACUCUUACAGGCCUGCUUUACUCUGCUAGGAUUCAAUUUUCAUCCUAAGCUGUUUUUUUUAUUAUGUGUUGUAUGAGGAAGAAUUGUUAAAAGUAUCCAUCGGAUGCAAAUAGUGAUUAUAAAUUGUAAUCUCUCAUAGGAACUUAGUUGUCUGUGUCUUAGUAGGGCGUUCAAUCAGUACUCCUGUGUGUUUGAGGGGAAAAAGCACAUUCUAUCAGUAGAAUAAAAUUUGAUAGGUUACCAUUUUACUGUACAGAGAUCUGAUACUGUUGUAAGAUCUACCUUUGGUUGAUCAAGCAACCAAGUUGGCUUUGCUGAAAUCUGAUGAUUAUUUCAUGAGUUCUUUCAUCUACUUAUGUUUACCUUUACCCCCUUUGGGUCUCAGGUCAUGUUUUACUCCUUAGCUGUCGUGACAUUUGGAACUGCUGUUCCAGCUGGUCAGUUCGUUCCAGGAAUAAUGAUUGGAUCUACGUAUGGACGGCUUGUUGGAAUGUUUGUUGUCAAGCAUUAUAAGAAGCUAAACAUCGAGGAGGGAACGUGAGUCCUCGCAUCCCUUUGUAUCCGCACAUGCAAUAUACCCAUUUUAAUUAUGCUCUAAGCAUUUUGUUUUUUGCAUUGGAUUGCAUUGGAUAGACCUUAAUGCCCAUUGGGAAUGCCCAUUUGAUAGUUUGUUGGCUAAAACUUAACAGAGUCUCUAUUCAUUAUCAAUGUUGUUGUAGGUACGCGCUCCUUGGUGCUGCAUCCUUUCUUGGUGGUUCAAUGAGAAUGACUGUAUCUUUAUGUGUUAUCAUGGUUGAGAUUACAAACAAUUUGAAACUCUUGCCAUUGAUCAUGCUUGUUCUUCUAGUUUCUAAGGUACUAACUCUGCAAUCCAUGACUCCUAGUUGAACAUAAUGAAUAGAAUAUGUCUGCUGAUUUCAGUUUAUGUAGGCGGUUGGUGACUUCUUUAACGAAGGGCUAUAUGAAGAGCAAGCCCGAUUAAGGGGCAUCCCUUUACUGGACUCCAGGCCUAAACAGGUUAUGAGAAAUAUGAAUGCAAAAGAUGCCUGCAAGAACCAGAAGGUUAUUAAGCUUUGUACGCCAUUGACCUAUUUAAGUGGACCAUGGAAAUUACCAUGUAUCAGUAUUAUUCCAAGUUCUAAUGCAUCCAAUCUUCUGUCACCUAUGUCAGGUUGUCUGCCUACCUCGUGUUUCAAGAGUCGUCGACAUUGUUUCUGUUUUGCGAACCAAUAAGCAUAAUGGUUUCCCUGUAAGUUUCCUUGAGGGUUGUCAAAACAAGACAAAGUUUUCAUGUGAUUUUCACCGAUUCAUUUUCUUAUCUCCUUUUCUUGGUUCAGGUUGUUGACCGUGGGCAGAAUGGCGAAUCAGUCAUAGGUCUCAUACUUCGUAGGUAAGAUACAAUGCUAUGUGUUCUUGAACUUUGCUGACUCAUGUCCCUGUGGUUAAUAUUUGGGAAUUGGGGAUUUCACAAUUGCAUUCUGUGAACGAGAAUCUAGGUCAAUAGGUUGUAAAUCUACAAGAUGAGCCAAUUGGCCAGGAAGAAUAUCUAUACUUUCACACACACACACGCACGCACGCACGCACUGACCUUGUCAUCCUCUUGUUGCAGCCACCUACUGGUACUUCUACAAGCUAAAGUAGAUUUCCAGAACAGUCCUUUCCCUUGUGGGCCUGGCGUACUGAACAGGUUUGCAAUCCGUUGUCUAUAAUCCAGAAAUAGCAUAUUCGAUGCACUUAUCUCUGGUAAUAAUUGAUUAUUUUUGCUGUUACAUAGGCACAAUUUUAGUGACUUCGUUAAACCAGCAUCAAGUAAAGGAAAGUCAAUUGAUGAUAUUCAUUUGACAGAUGAUGAACUGGGGUUAUAUUUGGAUCUUGCCCCAUUUUUAAAUCCUUCACCGUACAUAGUGCCAGAGGACAUGUCAUUGGCGAAGGUAAAUCAUGCUUUGUUUUUGGAUUAUACACCCAUUUCAUGAGUUAUGUAAUAAUCAUAGUAUCAAUGAUUUCAGGUUUACAAUCUCUUCCGCCAGCUUGGAUUGAGACACAUAUUUGUUGUCCCUAGGCCUUCUCGUGUUGUAGGAUUGAUAACCAGAAAAGAUUUGUUACUUGAGGUGAUAAGUUAUACUUUUAUUUUAGUUGAUAUUUUUAUUAUCUGGAAUCCCUUCCAAAUGUUGUUGUUGUAUUUCAGGAGGAUGACAAUACUGUGAUGGCGGAGCUCCAAUCGACGAGUGUAAGGUUUUGAUGUUCCUCCUGUCCCCCAAUUAUUGUUUAAUCUGCAAGCCUGUACAUUGCCACAAGGAACUUAUAUUUUGUUUGCAUUUGCUUAAAACCUGAGGUUUAAAUUAUCGCUCUGCUACUGGUGGUGAACUUUGGUAUUGCGUUUGGAAGGCUCUUGGUGGUGAAGCCCUCUUAAUAUUUUAUCAGCAGCGUAGAUUUUUGGUUAGAUGCUCUUGACAUGCUAGAGCAAAGAUUUUGAAAGGCUAGAUUUUAAAUCAUUGAAAAAUUCUGGUUUCAUUUUUUUUUGCAGCACUAGAUUCAUUUACACUCUUAUUAAAAGAAAAGGGUCUUUAUACUAAGAUUGAUAAUUCCUUUCGACCAGUUUGGAUUGAUAGAGUUAUUUUGAUCCGCAGGGGCUUGCUAAAUGGCAAACUGCUCGGCAGUAAUGCACAUCUGGAACGUCCUCUUCUUGACGAACUUGUGUUUGAGUAGAUACAUAGCAGCAUACGACUUAAGAUAAUUUUGAUAGCAAGCAGUUAACCAUCCACUGCAUAUUGGGCCAUGGCUAUUCCCUCCAAUUUUACAUGAAUCAAGCGGCACUGAGCGGAUCACUUUGCUGUGCCUGCUGCGACUGAGGUAAUUUCUCCGUGCCGUGUGUUUAGGUUAGGUGAUUGUAACUUGCACAGAAAUGUUCAUACACAUUAUCCAUGUAUCCUACGAUAGAUUUCCAAGGCGCUGUGUUAGGCGGUUGUAAGUAGAAUUUUGUAAUGGGUGAUUGCGAUGGUAAAGACAAAAGCUACUGAUGAAUGAUGAUUGGCUUGUUCUUUUCCUGAAGUUGUGUGGUAUGCCGUAUGCGGCUACUUGUAAAUUUCCUUCAGUUCCGCUCGGAAUAGCUCCGUUUGCAUUCCCGAGUCCUCUCGAUCUGUGUUUGCGUGCUUGGAGAACGGAAGCUGUGGCUGGCUGCCGUACUUGAGCUCCUGAAAUGGCUUAUACAUGUGAGGUGAGUACCGACGACGAUGAUGCGUGAUGGUAUGGGCAAGGCCUAGGUGGGCUAGGUAAGGAUUGUCUAGAGAUUGUAUCCAUCCAACAUCCAACAACACAAAGGAGUUGUUGGUAUGUAACAAGUUCAAGACUGUAUAGGUGAGGAUCAGGUUUCGCCAAAAAAAAAAAAGAUUGCUGCAAUUUAAAAAAAACAGUUUUCUUAAAAUAGGAAACAAAAAAACAUACAGCUAUAAGGACAACAGAAGAAGGCUCAGCCCGCCGUUCAAGAACGACAGAAGAAGGCCUAGCCCACAAUCCAAACUUCGUCGAGCCUUUGGGCUUUGUCGUCUCGGUUUCCCUUUCUUCUUUCUUCUACCCCAAGACGAACUCGUUCACUCGUCCUGAACUCUUCCGGUUCCUCCCGUGUCCUCUAUAUACGACUCGCCUCGUCGCCCCGGUACCCGUUCCUCUAUCCUCGCGCAGCAUAGGAGCACAAGCGAGGAAUCCAGUCCAGCCCCAGCAAUGGAGUGCGUCUUGGGCUUGGUCGGCCGCGACUUCGCGGUGGUGGCGGCGGACACCUCCGCCGUGCAGAGCAUCCUCGUCCACAAGACGGACGAGGACAAGGUGAUGGUCCUCGAUUCGCACAAGCUGAUGGGCGCUUCGGGGGAGCCUGGCGACCGGUAGGUUCUCCGCCCUCGCCGAUCCGUUCGUUCGGCGGCGGCUCCACCGAUUACACCUUCCCUUUUCUAGGGUUUUGCGCGCGCGCGCGAUCUGAUCCCGAUCUGGCUGGGUUUCUGUGCGGGUUCUGAUUGUGGUGUUUCGCUUGGCGCAGGGUGCAAUUCACGGAGUACAUACAGAAGAACCUCCACCUGUACCAGUUCCGCAACACCAUCCCGCUAUCCACCGCCGCCACCGCCAACUUCACCCGCGGCGAGCUUGCCACAGCCCUGCGGAAGGUACCGAUCCGAAUCAAUCUUAUCCCUUAGUGCUACUUGAUUUGCAUGCAAAAGGGUCGAGUCUUUAGAGCGCAAAAGGGUCGAUCGAGGAUAGAUUAGGGUUAGGCGUAGUCUGCUGUAAGUCCGAUUUGGGUGAGUGUCAGGUUGACUUGAGAUUAAGGUUGCAGUCGAGGGUGAUUACAGAAUCAGUUUAGUUGGGUGAAGGGGGGAUGAUGAUUUCAUUAAUCCAUGGGCAUAGGUGGUGUAUUGAGGAAUUAUUAUGGGCAACCGAAACAAGGGUUAUAUUUGCAAGCCUAAGAGAUGUGUGCCUGUAGGUUUUCUCAUGUAAAGUUGAGUAUUCUAAGCACCUUAAUAAUUUUCUGAGGUGGUUUGUGGAUGAACUGGUUCAGUUCUAGUCAUUUACUACUGUUUAGUAAAAACCUAACAUGUUAUUAAAAAAGGAAUACCAAACUGAUGCCAGUUGCAGAUUUAGUGAAAUGACUCAAGCAUGCUAUAUUUAAUGCCUCUGUACGCCUUUGUGUUGUUUUAGGGAAAUAUAUGAUGUUUUCGUAUGAGGUUUGCUACUGGAAUCAGCUAACACCAUGCUGUUCAUUUAUGUUCUAGUUUUGAACUAAUUUGUAUGGUCGAGAUUCCAGUUAUUUGAAUUGUAACACAAUUGUGUGAUGUGUACUUGUUACAAAAUUCUUGGGUGUUGGAACUCAUACCAUGUUGUUUAGUCUAUUCCUUUUCAAUAUUGUUCUCUUUAAGCCAGAACUGUAAAAAAUUUUUUUAUCACAUCGUCUCUUUGCAGCGUGAUGUCCUCUAUUUGGCAUAUCUUAAAUUUAUCUUUUGGCAAUACCCAAAUAAGUCUGAAGAUAAGUCAAAAGAAAACAUAUUUGCAUAUUAGAUGGAAUAGCAUCACUUUGUGCUGUGCGCGCUUUAUUUUCAUUCCCCAACAAUUUUAGUUGUACGUUUCCAGUUUCCAGCAGUAGGUUCAUGCUCAUGGAGCUCCAGUGAUACCAGUAAUACAUGUGCUUCUCAGUUGACUCUGUGCUUUCAGAUUGACUGUUGCAAUAGAUGGUCUUGUCCAUUGUGUUUCCAUUCAGGAAGAUGACCUUUUUGUGUUUUUCCUGUCAAUCAUUUCUUGAUACUAUAGGCUAUUUUUAAGAUGAACUCAUGGUAUAAUUGCAACCGAACAGUAUAUUGUCUUCUCUUAUUUUUUUUAUUUGAUCAGUAAUGCUUCACUAUAUAUAGGGAUGCAAUUUUGUAUCUUGUUAUAGCAAUAUGAAAUUGAUGAACCUGGAAUAUUUCUAGACAAAUUGUGUAGUGAACGAGUGAUAUUGCAAUAUUUGCUUGUGCUAGAAUUUCAUUGGCCUCUAAUUGCUAUAUAACUUUGAGGGGGCACUGGGCUGUUUUCAAGAAUUCCGGCUAUUUGCCCUAUUCCCGUGAGGCUUACUGGAGAGUAGAAAUCUUGGCUCUUGUAAACUGGCAAACUUUUGUCAUCCUCCUUACUUUUGUGGCACAGAAGGCUUUUAAUGCUUGCUCAGAUAUGAAACACGUUGUGUAUUUCCCACCAUUUAUGAUUUCAUAUUUUCAUUCAUAAAACAAUUUGCAGUCAGUGUCCAGUAAUGCUUUCUUUUUUCUUUUGCUGUUGUUUCAUUGAUAACACAUUUUUCUUCAUUUUGUCUGCUAAUAUCUAUGUCCUCUUUAUUGAGGUCCUAUAUCCCUGACACAUGCUUCAUGUUUUCCCCCUCAGAAUCCAUACAUGGUCAACGUUAUACUCGGUGGUUAUGAUAAGGAUGUUGGUGCUUCCCUGUACUACAUCGACUACAUUGCAACCCUACACAAGAUUGACAAAGGUGCCUUUGGGUACGGCUCCUAUUUCUGCUUGUCGCUGAUGGACAAGCUGUACCACCCGGACAUGACUCUUGAGGAGGCAGUGGAUCUUGUUGACAAGUGCAUUAAGGAGAUCCGCCUGCGGCUGGUCGUUGCUCCCCAGAACUUCGUGAUCAAGGUUGUGGACAAGGAUGGGGCGAGGGAGCUCGCGAGGCGUGAGCUCGUAGGCGACAGUGCAUCAGCGGAAGCUGCAGCAGCAACCACAGUGGCCGCCUGAGGCGUGAACUCGUUGGCAGUUGGACAUUGUUCAUUGUUUCUCAGCGCUGCUACUAUGUAAACCACAAGAUACUUUUGGGGUCCCAGAACUGUUUUUAUCAAUUCUAGCCCAGGCGUGUAACUCUGUUUCUGCACUUUUCAUGUCUCUGCUGAGUACAAGUAGUGCUUCCCGCUUUACAAUGCUGUGUGCCUCUGCCUGUGUGCUUGUUCUGAACACUGAAAUAAAUCCAAAAAAAAAAUAAUCUAAUGUGCUACUUGCUGAACAUCCUUCCCUGCUGAACGCUGCAGCGCCGGCCCCAUGUCUGGAUGCUGCACGCAGAGGGGAGGCUGAGCGUGCGCGUCCGGUCGACGCGGAGCGCGGCGCUGAGACACCGCGGCCUCGACCGCGCCACGGACCUGAGCUGCGAGCAGCACCGGCCAAGCGCCGUCGCCUCGCUGCCGAUGCCGCUCAUGUAGUCCACGCACGGCGACAGGCUCACCAGCGCCGACGUGCACCCGCUGGCGCCGGGGCGCCCGGUAGCCGCCGCCGCCACGACGAGCAGCGAGGCUGCGGCGGCCAGGAGCCAGAGGGGCGCCGCCCUUGCCCUCCCACGAGCAGCCAUUUUCGUCUAGCUUGGGUGCGGUGCGGUGCGCUACUGCCUGGUUUGAGGCUUUGAGCCUGGAGCAAUGUCGUGCACUAGUGCUGGCUAUCUUGUUCCCAUCUGUGUUUGGCGUGUUGCCGCUACGUGUCCCGUUCUUACUCGAUGUUGUUGCUACGGAAAAUCUAAGGCGCACCUCGGGGAACAGGGGAAGCCUCCAGCAAACCAGGGCCGAACUACAAGGCCGGUGGCUCCUUGAAGGUGCGAGUUCUACCACUCUGUCAGAACUCCAGAGUUUCUUUUCUCUCCGUAUGGCCGCAGUUUCUGAUGCGCGGUCGUGCGGAGACGAGGUCCCAUACUCCAGCUAUUUCCUUGCUUGUGGGAUGCCUUCAGGUGAACCUCCCUGGCCAAAGUAGAAGGCAAGGAGCAUAGAAAACCAGGUUGUAGUUGGGCAAGGAGAAUGAGCUGCCGCCACCUCCCGGCUGCAAAUUCACAUAAGGGUAGUUUUGUAUUUGCUUCAGUAAAUGCGCUGCAGAUUGGUUGUUGUUCAGACUGAAAUCGGAGUCCUCCAUUCUUGACGGUUUAGACGAGGCUAAUCCUAAGGCGAAUUUUGCUGCUUUCUCCAUCCUUCAUUGUACGGCUUUAAAAAAAUAAAAGGGAAAAAAAUUUGUGACAAAGGAACCAUGCGGUCAAUAUCGCAAAUUUUGUUUACUGAUUACGUUUUACUGUAUGUGUCAGAGUUUAGAUGUCUGAAAGUUACACGAGUAGUUUUGUCACGAACAUGAGUACUCAUGGUAUGUUUUAUAGGUAUAUCGUAGCAAAAAUGAAAGAUCGCAGCUUAUUGCCACUCCACGUAUGAGGCGAGAGGAUAGGUGGGUGGAAGUGUUGACGUGUAAGUGAAAUAUCUGUUUUACUAAAAAAUUAUGUGUUUAGGGCCAACAUGAUGAUAUGUGGUCGCACAAUAAAAAUGGUGGUGACGAGGUCCAUUUGACCUCUCCUAUGAGGCCGCCUUGCAACCUUUGAACCCGCAACAUAGGAUAAGAAUGACUUCAAGUACUGAGAUUAUAUUUGAGAGAAUUAAGAUUAAAUUUCUCAGUUAAGAAUGACUUUUCGAUAAGUGAAGCAUUUGGGUUGACCGGCCCAGGAACAUUUGAACCCGCAACAUAGGAAAGAUAACGCAACACGAUUUUGAAAAUGCGACAUGACGAGUGUAAACGAACAUGGCAUAUAUAUAAACCGGCAAAUUUAUUGCGACCCUAGGAAUCAACCAAUCGCACAAGAAAUAACACAAAUCCGUAGAGGCACACACGCAACACUCAAAAUCCUCCUCCCCGAAUGCUGAAACGGAAGUUUCACACGACGCAACAACGCGUCCUGAAACCCUGAAUCACCACGCUUCACGCAGCAGCUGACACGGCGUAGACCGCAGCUGACACGGCGAGCCCGAGCACCAGACCCGCCGGCCCCCGGAGCGCCGCGGCGCCGGAUGGCAGGGACGGCGUCGCCUUCGAUCCUUCGCCGCCCGACGAACCUGCACCGAUCGAUCCGAUCACACGACGAGUUAAUUUCCGUUCAGCAACGAGCGAGAUCUCCAAAAGAGCAGAGCGAUCGGCGUGAGAUGAAUGGCGCCGGGCAGUUUGCCUCCGGUGGGAGCGGGGCGCUUACCGGCGUUGCACUGGCUGGUGGGCGGGGUCUGGACGUUGCAGGCGGCGGGGAGGCCGAGCGCGCGCUCCCGGUCGAUGGUGACGCCGCCGAGGGAGGACGAGGCGCCGCCGCCGAUCGCGGCGCAGAGGCACUGCGGCUUGGACUGCACCACGGACUUGAGCUGCGAGCAGCACGACGCGCUGGGCGACGACGAGCCGUUCCCGCUGAUGUAGUCCAUGCACGGGGACAGGCUCACCAGCGCCGACGUGCAGUCGCUGCCGCCGGAGCCGGAGGACUGCGCCGACGCCGCCGCGACCAGCACCGCGGCCAGGAGCCAGAACGGCAUCACCCUGGCAACCAUUUUCUUGCUCGGAAUUGCUACUGUCUGAUCUGAUGUGAUCAGUCAGCUUGCCCAGAAGUACUUUUGGCUGAUGUGCGAGUCUGUUGCGCUGCUUUGUGUUGCUUUUGGGCUUUGUGGUGGUGUGGUUUUUAUAGGGGUGAUUUGGGAUGGAAGUUGAACGAGUUGGUAGAUGCUGGUGAGCUGCCGGUUCCUACUUCAUCAGGAAAUUGUAGUACCAGUCCAAGUCGUAGACUAUUUGAUCGAGUUGUUACGGAUUUUGUUUACUAAAAUGUGUGGCGAAUUCGGUGCUCAGACUGAAAUCAGGUGUUGAUCUUUGGCGUGUUUGGUGAGGGCAGCAACGGUACUGAGUAUCUUAUCAGAGUUUCGUUGCUUAGUAUGUUUUUGGUUUAUUAGGAAGCUGCUUGUCAGCUUGUGUCAGCCUCACAACUGGCAGAGACCAACAUCAGUAACAUAUUGUUUCCACAUAACGAGACGGUGGUGGAGCCCGGCAAUGAUCUCACGCCCGGAGACCGUAGACCGUAGAAGCGGGAACUGACCUGCAAGAUUUCGUCAAAUCUUUCUAUUUUUUGAACAAAAAUCAUCCAUGUUUCUUAAGCUGAACCCAGUCCUGCAGUGCACAAGACAACACACAAAUGCAGACUCACAUGUUCUUUGAGGACAAUCUAUUUACAAAGUCGUGUGACUGUGUCAGGAACACUGCACAAGUCUACCGACGUACAGUUGCUCAUUUGCACUGCCGUGGGCUACAUAUGCCAACUUUUAUGUUGCCUGCUAACAGUGACGUCAAUUACAAUUAUAUUUUUUUACAAAUACAAGAUCUGUGCUAUAGUUAAUGAGAAAACCGCCAAAACUGAAUCUACAAUUUGUUCUUUCUCCACAGGGCCAAUCCGCAACCUUUUCUUUCUAUAGAGGCCUCAAAAGCGGGUAAUCUUCAAGGAGCUCUCGUUCUGACAAUGUGUCGUUCUCAUUUUGUGGAGUCCAUAGGACCUCGACUGCCUGCAAUGAAGAUAAACCAAGUGUCAGGCAUCAUUGUUAUAGCAUACGAGUAUCAACCAAAUGCAGACAAUCACCUUGAUUUAAAAUAGCAGGCUAGCAAAAUGUUGGCUCUUUUGAUGAUUUUUCUUCUUUUCCCUUAUUCUUAUUUUAAUUUUCCACUUUACUUUUAGUGUGAAUUCAUGAGGCUAUUGAUGGUUUCAAAGCCCCUAAAGAUCAAAUGGGGUUCUCUAUUUUUUUAGUCAUAAAAAUGUCUCCAACUUCAGCAAUAGCCCCAAUGGAUAGAGGGCUCCCUAGAGACUUGGGAGUGGAGGGUGAAGGGGGGAAUUUGGAUUUGGGAGUGGAGGGUGAAGGGGGGAAUUUGGAUUGUUAGUAGAGGGCCUGCUGGAGUACAUUUUUUUGACGUGGCAGAGUAGAGGACUGUUUAUUUUUUUGACGUGACCCUCUAAACUUAGAGUAGGGGACUGUUUAGAGGGCCUGCUGGAGUUGCUCUAACCUACUCAACUUGCUUGCUAAAUGAUUUGUAAUCUAGCAAGAUGUCGCUUAUUAGAUGUCCCUAUAACAUGCCACUGAUUUGCUGCAAUUUUUAUUUGCUGACUAGAUCAGGCAGCCUUGUACAACAUAAAUGGAUUAGAUAGCUAUUUGGACCAGCUGGAUGAAGUUUUGGAGCAAAUACAAUUUUACAGAACUGUAGAUGUUGGUGACUGAAACCAGGUUGCUGUCAGUUCACAUUAUUUUACAUUUUAACACCAAUGCAAUCAACAUGGAAUGAAUCACGAGUAGGGAUUGUAGGACUAGAAUUCAAACUUGAUGACAGAACAAGAGAGAUUCAAACUUGAUGAUAGAACAAGAGAGAAAAUAAACAAGCAAGGAAUACCAGUAUUUUGCUUGAUGGUAUGCCACCAAGAUUUUGCAGAGCUGUCUUCAAGUCAUUGCUGCUAUUUAUAACAGGUAGCUUAUAUACUCCCUCGGCAGCAACCAGUAUGGUUAUCUACAGAUAUGAAUAAAAAUGCUUAGAUAUAUGGUGAGUAAAUACUAGCAAAACAGCUAAUCAGAAACACUUAAUCGCUCAAGCCUAUACACACUGUAAAUCACAUACCCCCUUUUUUACAUUUUAAAAAAAUCUUAAUUCUUGAAUGGCAAGAGGCAUCCUGAACUGUAUCAGGAAAGUUUAUGAAGAGGGUUAAAAUGUAUAGGCUAAUAAUGCUGGUUGAUAAAUCACCACACUGUUGACUGAUAUAAUGGGACAUUCCGAACUGCACAUCAUGAAGGUCCCAACAUCACUGUAUGCACACAUAAGAUACUACUUGACAAGCAUGGUGCCAUUUGGCUACAUACCACAAUGUACUCAUUGCUGAAGCCACUUGAUCUUUGGCUGCCUGCUUUAUUCCUCUUGAUGCUGUUCACGUUCACAAGCGUCUCUUCAUCAAACUUGCCCCUCUCCUCAAUUGAUAGUUGAUUGAAACGUUUCUCCCCAUCGUCCAUACUUCGUUUCACAUCCACCUUUAGAACAAUAAAUGAGAUUACAUAAGACAUUGGAACAAGAAACUUACUGAAUUCCAAACCAAUUUGACCUUGCCACUAAAAACAUGAUAUGGUACUCAUGUGUGGAACAUUGAUAUUACUUACAACACAAAAAAGGACUUUAUGACCAUAUCAUCACUGAUGAAAUAAAAACAUGUAUGGAAAAGUCGUUUUGCAUUCUUUUUGGGGAGGUGUGCGUAAUAUUACAUUUUUUGCAAGAUAAAUCGCAGAGUUACAUCAUUUUAGUGAUCAAACAUUUGAAAGCAAGAGACAAACUGCAAUCUAUUAAAUAAGACAAACAUUAUAAUUGAAGCAAAAAGUGUGCUUACUGAUGAGUAAGCUGAGAUACAGCAAUCUGGAUGCCGAAGCAAUGCCAAUGUUGUCUCUAUAGAACAGCAUAAUAAACAGUUAGCACGAUAAACAGUUAGCACGAUUUCAAGGCAAUAGCAAAAUGGGUGUAAGUCUUAUAAAAAAAUCUAUUGAAUUUGUUUAAGAAACUAUGACUCAUAAUGUAAUGCAGUUUAAAAUACAUACACAUACUAGAGUAUAUCAAUCAACAGUACCGAUUUUGUAUCAGGCAGCAUGCAUCAUCGCCAAAAUGAGAGAUUGUUAAAAAAAAAGGACUGUUGUGGCAUACAGAAGGACACAAGCACACAGGAACCACCAAAUUUCCACCACAGAUACAAAUUGUGUCCAUCAAAGUGUGAAAGUGAUCCUUACUAACAAUCCAAGGGGAACAAGAUUCAAUCAAUAAAGAAAGGAGGUAAAAUAUAUGAGAACAGAAUGCCAACACAGAAAAUCACUUUGAAAGCAGUACAUUACAUUGAAUUUCAAAAAAACAACAAGAAGAAGAAGAUGAUGAAAAGAACUAUGCUACCUCGAAAUAAUUGGACCAUACACCAGAAAGGGAUCUGCUAUAGAUCCGUUAGGAUCCUGUCUCCCAAAGAGACUGAACCAAGCCCAUUUUCAUCUUGGUACUUACCACGGGCAAUCAGAGUGUGUCAUAUCCAAUUUUGCCUUUUUUUUCUUUCUCUAAUGUGUGAGCCAAGCUAGUUCGUUGUGACAUUAAUAGCUCUAUUGCCUGGAUUUUACUCCUGCCACUUACACCACCAUAACUCCAGAAGUAAAAUGGAGCAGCAUAUAUGAUUUGGUUUUACCUGUCAACACAUAGCUCAACCCAGCCGGGGUGGAUGUAUCUGCUUUCUCAGCUAUUUGAUCAAGCUCCUUCUGAAAUGAUCGGGCCAUACCCAGCAAGCCAACCUGCAAACAAAUGUUAACUUAUAGAUUACAAAAGUUAUCCGUGGAUUCAUCUUUUUUACACAUCGAGUGCUAUUUGUGAACCGGUAUGUUCUUAUUGACAUUUGGUAUGUACUGCAAACAACGUAAUUAAUAGAUCUUAUUUGACAACAAUUGUGUAUCAACGUCUAUCAUGAUCUUGUUUGGUAUGCACUACUAAUAACGAAAUGAAGCGAGCACAUCUUAGUUUGCAGUUUUUGUACAUCUAGGUACAGUGUGUACAAAUGUCUAUCAUGAUCUUUAUCCGAAAAGCAGCACAACAGACUACUUGGUGAAGCUUCAGUGGAUAAAAUAUACCAGCUAAGAAGAGUGCGCGUGAGACAAAUCAGCAAUUUACAUCAAAAUAGUCUUAAAUAUGGAUUCUGGCCUUCUAGGCGAUGUAUCCAGCUGGCCACAUGUCACACUAUAUUACAAUGCAUUUGGGCAGUGGCUUAAACCAACAUGUUAAAAUGAAGUGCGCACCAAAUUAGGAAGUUGAUUAUAGCUUGGAUGAAAGAGCCCGAUGAAUAGCAUUUUCCUUACAAUCAAACAGCAGGCAAUGUAACAACAUUUCAUUUGCCAAUUUGCCCGCUUACCUAUGAAGUUAACACGGAAAUUGACUCAAUGUAGUAAUGUCUCUAAUAAUAAAAUCUUAUCCCCAAAUAACAGCGAUCCCAAACGUACCUGUAGCUUGAGGACGGUGGUCUUCUGCGUCUCGGUGAGCACGCUCCCGUUGCCGGGCGAAUCCGACAGGAACCCGGCGAGGUAGAGGAACGCGGCGAAGCCCAUGAGGGCCAUGAGGAACCCGGAGCCCCCGAAGCCGAUGCCGACGGCCGGGCCGACGGAGACGAAGGGCGAGGGCGAGUAGAAGGGCGCGGAGGUGUACCCGCCCCUGGGCGCCGGCGCGCUGUACCCGUAGGAGGGCGGCGAGGAUGAGCGCGAGGAGAAGGCGGACCCGCCGACGCGCCCGCCCGAUGCCGCCAGCGCCGCGGCGUGCGGCCCGACCACCGCCGGCGCCGCGGCGAGCAGCGCGCCGGCCAGCAGGAGCGCGAGCGCGGGCCGCUUGAGCGCCGCGAGGGAGUCGAGCACGGACCUCCUCAGCGCGUCGAGGGCGAGGAGCGGCUGGGGCUGGGGCCUCGCUGGUUCGUCCUCCUCCGCGGCGGCGGGAGGCGGGAGGCGGUGGUGGGCGCGGAGGGCGGGGAGGCGCGCGGGCCCGAGGAGGAGGCGGAGGCCGCGGUGGGGCGGGAGAAGGGGCGGGCGCGGGAGAGGGGACGAGAGGAGGCGCGUGGCCUCGAGGAGGGAGGCGGCGGCCAUGGCGGUGUCAGCGGCGGCGCGGGUCGCGUGAAUGUGAUGAUGCGGAGGCGGAGGAGGUUGGGUACUUGGGUGGGGAGCGGGAGGGAUUUUUUUGAGAAGUGUGUGGGGGAGGAGGAUCAGGUUCAGGUUGAGGCUGCGGGCUGGGGAUGCCGACGUGGCCGACGACCGGCGGCCGGGCGGCGGAUGGGAAUGGGAGCCUUCCGCGGCAAGGAUCCCAGAUCAGACCAUUUCCAUUUCCCACACCGUGCCGUAAAAGGAAGGCAGGCGACGGCCCAGAUGGAGCCUAACCUGAAAUCAGAAGGUGCACAUCGUGCCUUCCUACCGUGCACCUCCAGCUCUUCCACUGCUUCCCCAUCUGGUUGCCGCCACUGCAUACUUCACCAGCGGCGAGCUCGCGGCAGCACUCUGCAAGACACUAACCCGGAUUAAUCUUGGACGGAGAUUCUUUCAAUUCGUGGUGUUCAGAAAUCAGAACAUCCAUUGCUCAUCAGUCAAGUCAUAUUUGUUUGGCAGUGCAAAUGUACGACCAAUCAAAUAGUUACAGGCCAACUUCAGCUCAUCGCUUCAUCUCCUAAACUAGAAAGAUGCAGAAACAACUAUAGCACGCUGAUGAACAAGAUUGUGCCAUACAAUACUGGAAAUUAACGUUAAUCAAGCACACAUGCACCAGUUCAAUGAAAAAAGGAAAUCGCUCAAGGUUUACUUCUGCUAGUACUACUUCAGCAAAUUUUAUCAGGGGCAUCUCAUAGUACUGCACUCAGUUCUAGCACACCUGCAGGGCCCUGUUAGAACGAAUAGGCCAUACUCGUUGAUGGAGAGGUACAUGAACUGGUUGAUGGAAAGGAAAGCACCAUACCAUCCACGCAUCAGUUCAGUACUAGCACCAGAUCGACUACGGUAAGUAUGUUACAUUAAAACUACACCUAGGGAUGUCUACAGACACGCGAGAGCGAACGCAAAAGGAGCAUUUCCACAGGUAGCCCCAGGCCACAGAUUUGUCCUUGGCUCCAAGCUCCAGUACUACAGCAAAAGAUCAAGUACCCCGGGGAAAGAAAAUAACUAAACCAUCUUCAAGCCCAUGCUGAAAUACGACGUCUAGCUUCACUCUUCGUCAGAGCGCAGAUGGAAGCGGGCUCAGUCCCAUGAGAGGUUGAUCAUCAUGGAGUUGGCCAACCUGGCUCUUCAUCCAGGUCCGACAGCAAAUCCUAGGUACAGUACACGAUCAGAAAGAAUAAGCAAGGGAACAUCUACACCAUAUUACAGCUGAAAUUUUAAGUUUCCAUGCAACCCUACAAGCUACAACUACAAUUCAGUACAAGAAUGAAAGAAGGGUGUCAAAAAUCAAAAAUACCUGGAGCAAACAGUCUAGGCGAACCAUUCCAUUCCAGCCACGCAUCAUUUCCCCAGUGACAGGAUCAAUGAAGAGGACCAACCCUUUGGAGGCAGAUUCCUAACAAAUCUCGAGGCGUUCCGCCACGUGCUCGAGAACCUUUCUGGCACCUUCCGUGUCAAAAUCGCUGCCGGCAAAUUCUGGAAGAAGGCCUUUCGUAACAUUAGUCCUUGUACAGCACCGCUCCAGAUGUUAACAGCUCCUUAUAUUCCAUGAGCGCUCUUACGGUUUCAAAACAUCCCGCUUCAAAUCUGUCGACCAUCUCGACGGCUUCGUUCAUCUCGUCCAUGAGCCUCCGGCAAUCGGCCUUGACGCACUCCUGAUGGAACUUCAACAUCUGCGCGGCUGGGUAGUUGAAAUCAUCUAUCAUCAAGCUCAUCUCCUCCGUGAGGAAGUUGAUCGCCUCUUCAGCCACUUGCUCCACGGCUUCCUCUCUGGUAGUAGCCUGAGAACUUCCAUUUAUCUUCCGGUUUAGCGGCGGCCCUCCCGCCGCGGCCGGGCAGUACCACACCAUGGCUUCGGCAGUGAACGCCCCGUCGUCGGUGCUGUCCCGGCAGAUGAACUCCGCCGGGUGCAGAGCUAGCUCCUUCCAGACCUCGAGCAGUAUCACCCGGCGACUGAUCCGGACGACACGGGCACCUACAUGCAUUAGCAGACAGUCUCAGUUUAAUUCAACCGUCAUUAUAUUUUGGUUAAGCCCGGAAGGUGCAGAGCGGCAGUGCGUGAAUGAAGAGGAAGAAGCUGGGCACGGGGGUUCACCUGCUGCUGGACCAUCCCCUUCCGCUUUUGUCUUCACUCUUCAAUGAUGUGCAGGAUCUCUCUGGAUGGCCGGCCGGCGCGGCGGCCUUGUCGAUUGCGUUGGCACCUCCGCGCACUGGUGGUAUGCUUGGCAAUGGCAUGCAAACGCCACGAGUUUCUUAUUUGACCUCUUCGCCUUGUGCUAGGUGUCGGCGGAUUCGCGCGCGGGUGCGCCCAGCCGCGUAUACGUGGUCACCCGCAUUGCCACGCGCGGCGCGUGUAGAGCACCCGCGGCCUGCAUGACGUGUAUAGUUCGUUGCCAGGUGCCACGGUGAGGAGCGGCGCUCGCGUGCUUCCUUGGCGGCGUGUCAACGUCGGCCGAGCCAGCUGAAUGCCCCUGUGUGGUAUUCCAUUGAAGCUGCUAACAAGAAUUUCUUCAAAAAAGAAGAAGAAGAAGCUGCUGCUAAAGAGUGUUCGGAGACAGUACUUGCGAUAACUUGGGAAGUGUUGCAAAUAAUAUUGCUUUGACCUCGUCCAAAGCUGGAGGCGGGAAAAAUCCCACGCAUGCACUAGUGGGCCAUACGAGACUUGCCUACGACGUGGGCACAUCCCUGGUUAUGGACGAAGUGGAGCUGCCCAUCGUGGGGCUUUUUAGCAGUUUAUCUCCUAACCUCUUUUUACUGAGCCUAUAUAUAUGUAAUCAUCAUUGAUUAAUAAAGACAACUGAUUCACUGUUCAUCUCCUUUCUCUCUCGAAUCUUCCUCUGUUUACGUUCACAACACGUUAUCAGCACCUUAGUUCUCCGCUGAGCAGAAGAAACGAGUUCGCCGGAAGUCGCAGAGGAUUUAUACGGGAGUCGAUCCGAUGGAUGAAGAGUUGUGCCUUGUGGACAGCUGUACCACAAAUACUAUACUUAGGGAAGUCAAAUAUUUCCAAACUCUUACAAAGAGGGAGGGACAAAUUUUGACCAUCGCAGGAUGCGAUGCUAUGAUAGUUGGUUCCGGCAGAGCCACCAUCAUACUUCCAAUGGGUACACAAAUUGAUAUCGAGGAAGCAUUAUUAUAUCCUGAUUCAACACGUACCCUACUAAGUUAUAGAGAUAUCUGUAAAAAUGGGAUUCAUAUCAAAACACAUGAAGAAAACAAAGAUGAGUUUCUCAUCUUGACUAAAGAUAACGGAUAUGGCAAACAGACACUCGAAAAGGUGCCUUCUCUUUCAUUCAGAUUGUACUACACAUACGUGAAACCUGUACCACAUGUUGCAUACAAAGUGAUUUUUCAGAAUGUGGACACAUUCAAAACUUGGCAUGAUCGCCUUGGCCAUCCCGGUGUCAGGAUGAUGAGAAAAAUCAUUAGCAAUUCACAUGGUCACGGUAUGAGCAAUAACAAAUUUCCACAACCAUCAGAUUUUAUGUGCACCUCAUGUGCAAUUGGGAAAUUAAUUUUGAGACCCUCACAUCUCAAAAUACAGGCUGAACCACUCAAGUUCCUUGAACACAUUCAAGGAGACAUAUGUGGACCUAUUCAACCUUUAUUUGGACCUUUCAGGUAUUUCAUGGUUCUAAUAGAUGCAUCCACAAGAUGGUCUCAUGUGUGUCUAUUAUCGACACAGAACUAUGCUUUUGCAAAAUUGAUAGCACAAGUCAUCAGACUUAGAGCAAAUCAGCCUGAACACCGGAUAAAAUCAAUUAGGUUGGAUCACCGGAUAAAAUCAAUUAGGUUGGACAAUGCAGCAGAAUUUUCUUCCAAAGCCUUCAAUGAUUAUUGUAUGGCCUUAGGAAUUGAAGUUCAACAUUCUGUACCAUAUGUCCAUACACAAAAUGGUUUAGCUGAAUCUCUCAUCAAGAGAAUAAAGCUUAUUGCCAGACCACUAUUGCAAGAUUGUAAUCUACCAACCUCAUGUUGGGGUCAUGCAGUCCUACACGCUGCGGACUUAAUACAAUUGCGCCCAACUGCAUACCAUGCAACCUCCCCGUUGCAAUUGGUUCGUGGUGAUCCUCCAAGUAUUUCCCAUCUAUGGAAAUUCGGUUGCACAGUAUACGUACCAAUCUCACCACCAAAGCGUACAACUGUGGGCCCUCACAGGAAAAUGGGGAUCUAUGUGGGGUAUUUAUCUCCGUCGAUUAUUAAAUACCUGGAGCCCCUUACAGGGGACUUACUCACAGCCCGGUAUGCUGAUUGUAUCUUCAACGAAGAUCAUUUCCUGGCAUUAGGGGGAGAAUUCAAGUAUCACACUGUAUGCCAGGAAAUAAAUUGGGAUGCUAUAGACACCCUAAAGGAGGAUCCUCGUACCAAAGAAUCCGAACUUUAAGUUUAAAGGAUUAUUGAUUUGCAGAAUGCUGCAAACAAUUUGCCAGAUUCAUUUGCUGUUGACAAAAGUGUCAUAAAAUCCUACAUUCCAGCAAGGAAUGUGCCGGAAAGAGUAGAUGUACCAAAUAAAACUAUUCAACUAUCUUCUCAGAAUGAGAAUGAGAGAAGUACGGCAAAUCCUCGCAAGCGCACGAGGAAACAGAGGACAGAAUCCUCUAAAACAGUAAAUGCGACUCAACCUCAAGUUGAGAUACAAAGAGUGGAUUUACCCAAUCCACCUCCCACAUCAACAGUGCACUCAAUUUCUGAUGAUGGGACAUUGGAACGCCCCGACGCAAUCGUAUUGGGAAAUACCGAGCCGUCAGCUGAGGUGCUUGAGAUUUCCAUAAACUAUGUUGGUUCUGGAGAAUCAUUUGAUCAUAAGACUACAAUUGUCAACAUAUACUUUGCCUCAUCAGUUGCCGACACCAUCCAAAAUGAUCCAGAUCCCAAAUCCAUGGUAGAAUGCAAGAAGCGUUCGGACUGGAACAACUGGAAGGAAGCAAUUGAAGCAGAGUUAGCCUCCCUCAAGAAAAGACAGGUAUUCUUAUCAGUGAUACCUACACCUCCAAAAACCUUCCCUGUGGGUUUUAAAUGGGUUUUCGUCCUAAAGCGGAAUGAAAACAACGAGGUGGUGAGAUAUAAGGCGAGGCUUGUAGCACAAGGGUUCAUGCAGAGACCCGGCAUUGAUUUCAAUGAAACAUACUCUCCAGUUAUGAGUGGAAUCACAUUCCGAUAUUUAAUAUCGCUGGCAAUCCAAAAGCGUCUAUCUAUGCAGUUGAUGGAUGUCGUGACUGCAUAUUUAUAUGGGUCACUAGAUUCGGAUAUAUAUAAGAAGGUUCCUGAUGGAAUCUCUAUACCGAAUGAAAGCGCAAAUCGCAACAUGUAUUGUGUAAAACUUAAAAGAUCAUUAUAUGGUCUUAAACAGUCGGGAAGAAUGUGGUACAACCAACUGAGCGAGUACCUUCUGCAGAAGGGAUACUCCAACAAUGGUGAUUGUCCGUGCGUCUUCAUCAAGAGAUCCCCUACGGGGUUUUGCAUUAUAUCCGUGUAUGUAGAUGACUUAAACAUCAUUGGCAACACACAAGAUAUUGAUGAAGCCCGAAAUCAUCUUAAGACGGAAUUCGAGAUGAAGGAUUGGGGUAAAACCAAAUUUUGCUUAGGUUUACAAAUCGAGCACCUUCACCCGGGAAUUUUAGUGCACCAGUCUGUUUAUGUACAAAAGGUAUUGGAGAAAUUCAAUAUGGAUAAAUCAUAUCCAAUAAAAACUCCCAUGUUUGUUUGAUCUCUUGAUCUAGAAAAGAAUGUUUUCCGACCACGGGAGGAAGGGGAAGAGGUACUGGGUCCAGAAUACCCUUAUCUCAGUCUCAUUGGAGCACUCAUGUAUCUUGCAAAUGGUACCAGGCCUGACAUUGCUUUCGCAGUGAAUCUGUUGUCAAGACAUAAUGCCGCCCCAACAAAGCGCCAUUGGACCGGAGGAAAGCAAAUCCUUAGGUAUUUGAAUGGCACUAAAGACCUUGGAUUAUUCUUUCAGAAAACCCAAGACUCCAAUUUAGUUGGAUACACUGAUGCUGGCUAUAUGUCUAAUCCCCACAAUGCCAGAUCACAGACAGGAUUUGUAUUCCUACAUGGUGGAACAGCCAUAUUGUGGAAAUCAUCUAAACAAACAAUGGUGGCCACCUCCACGAAUCAUUCUGAGAUCAUUGCACUAUAUGAGGCAUCACGUGAAUGCGUGUGGCUUUGCAGAAUGAUAAACCACAUAGAGCAAUCUUGUGGUAUUGGUCCCAUUGAAUCACCCACCAUUAUCUAUGAAGAUAAUGCUGCUUGUGUUACACAGAUGAAAACUGGCUACAUCAAGAGCAACAUCACUAAGCAUAUUGCUCCCAAGCUAUUUUAUCCACACGAGCUUCAGCUAAGUGGAGAUAUAAAUAUCUUGCAGACAAAGUCUUGCGAUAAUCUCGUCGACCUCUUCACCAAGUCCCUACCAUCUUCCUCAUUCGAGAAAUGCGUUAAGGGCAUUGGUAUGAGACGUUUUCGAGAUUUGCAAGCUUAAGGGGGAGUCUCCUUGAAUGAUGAGCCUAGUUGACAACAUCACGUUGUACUCUUUUUGUUUUAUGAGUUUUACCAUCAGGUUUUCUCAUAUUAAGUUUUAAUGAGGCAAUGGGUAGCACAAAAGAUGUCAUAUCCCAUUUUUCCCCCACAGGGUUUUUUUAGGGAUAUACAAGGCAUAAGUUACUCCUUAAACUUUACAGGUUUAUAACAGAGUAAUCAUAACAUAAUCUAUUCCUAAUUUUUCCCACAGGGUUUUCAGAGGAGUAGAAUUACAACUUAAUCAAGCUUGGACUCGAUCAAGGGGGAGUGUUGCAAAUAAUAUUGCUUUGACCUCGUCCAAAGCUGGAGGCGGGAAAAAUCCCGCGCAUGCACUAGUGGGCCAUGCGGGACUUGCCUACAACAUAGGCACAUCCCUGGUUAUGGACGAAGUGGAGCUACCCAUCGUGGGGCUUCUUUAGGAGUUUAUCUCCUAACCUCUUCUUACUGAGGCUAUAUACAUAUAUGUAAUCAUCAUUGAUUAAUAAAGACACCUGAUUCACUGUUCAUCUUGUUUCUCUCUCGAAUCUUCGCCCUUGUUUACUUCCCACAAAACUCCCAACUUUGACACUAUGCAAAAAGAAGAUUCCCCAUCACAUCAAACUUGCGGUACAUGCAUGGAGUACUAAAUGUAGACGAAAUCAAAAACUAAUUGCACAGUUUUGUUGUACUUUGCGAGACGAAUCUUUUGAGCCUAAUUAGUCAAUAUUUGGACAAUAAUUCACAAAUACAAACGAAACGCUACAGUGUCGCAUUUAUAGCAAAAUGUCAAUUUGGCACCUCCCAACUUUCCAAGUAAACAAGGGCUUCCUACCCGAACGAAAUCGGUACUGGCAGCACGCGCUGCGCACCCCUACCCGAACGAGCACUGUGGGGCAUGCAGGUGCGGACGCGGCUGGAUGGGCAGAUGGCACGACAAAACGUGGAAACCCAAAAGCGCCCGCGAUCUCCGAUGCUCCUCUAAUCCGGCCUGGCCGCCUAGCCUAGGUGGGCGAUGCGAGUGCGGGUGCGACCGCGCGGGGGCAGAGCUAUCUUCGGAUACCUCCGAGCUGCCUGAGAUAAGGCGCGGCGUCAGCAUGCGCUCAUGUUGCUGCUCAUGAGCUCAUCACCAUCUUGCGGGGCACGGCAACGCGUGCGCGCACGGCGCGCCGGGCCGGCCGCCAGCUGGCCUAGCUAGGUGCGAUGCGAGUGUGACCGCGCGGGGGCAGUAGCUUCCCCUGGCCCCUGCCUGAUCAUACCGAUCUCUCCUUAUCCUCUGUCACUUUUGUCAGAAAUUUCAGUAUCUUGGCAGCUGGUCUAUACGGAGGAAAACAAAGUCCCGGCGAGUGUGUUUCUAGUCUAGUACAUAAUGUAUAAUACAUACUGAUACUGCAUUGUAAUUUGCUCCCUGUGAAAAUCUCGAAGCGGGUGAAAUCACAAAGCAGUGUAUAGGGGAUCGCCGUCAUGCUAACAAGCAACCGCUAGUACCCCGGACCCUUUUACUUGGUAAGUGGUAUAGUGCUAGCUAACAAAGUUAGAAUGCUAUAGGAUAAGAUGCCCCUGGAUCGGAGCAGUUCAUCUUGAUACCUCCGAGCGGGGCCACAAGUCGGGCUCGGGCAGCCGACGAAAGGCAUGAACUCAUCAGUCGUCACGCUGCAGCGAUGCACGCAUCAGGAAUUCCACACCGGCCGGCGUACGUGGAAGCCAAGGGGAGGCACGGACGACUUGGACGUACGCCAGCUCAUGACUGGAAAAGACAAAUGGCCGUGCUUCUCCAAGCUUGCUCCUUGCCAGUACAUCGCAGUCUAACCACACGGUCGAGCUUAUGUUAGAGUCAUGACGACCUUUGAACAAGGUCAUAUAUUUUUUUUUUGGAAACGAACACGAUCAUAUAUUACACUACUGGGGCGCUGCAUGCCUAUCCAAGAACACCAAAAUUCGCAUCGGAAUCCCCGGUACCGGCCAAUGAACACACCGCACGCAAGCGUGCCGCCAUGCAGUUAAUUGGCAUGCACCACCACUGUCUGAUCAAAAUCGGGAUAGUUUAACUUGACUUGCUACUCCCUUCAGGGACUCGUAAAACUUUUGGAUACCUCGUAAUACAUCUAGCUAGUUUCAUAACAUAAGAAACCUUAUGUUUAGAUUUGUCUCAAAAAUCACACACAUUUGUAGUCUCAUAACUUCGUAACCCUCUCAUCAUACUAAGUACUCCCUCCGUUCCAAACUGUAAGUCAUUUUGACUUUUCUAGGUUCAUAGAUAUUAUUCUGCACUUAGACAUACACUAUAUAUAGAUGCAUAAUAAUAUCUAUAAAUAUAAAAAAACUAAAACGACCUACAUUUUGGAAAUCUAUUAGAACAUUAAUAUAUAUAACCUCCUGUAUGGUAGUUCAACUAAUAAUAUGUAUUAAAGUAUACCAUCAUAAAUAGAAAAGGCUAUAUAUAUUGUGAGUUUGUUUUAUCAUCAUGAAUAUAGUUAAUCAUAUGUCGUCAAUCUAUAUAAUUAUUUUUUGCCGUUUAUAGUCAAAAUUAAAAAUUAAACGUUUGAUUCUGGAAAACCUAGACAAACGUCUAAGGAAACACACAUUUGUGAGUACUGAGUAGAGGAAGUGUGUUUGCUCAUACACAUCCAUUUUAUUACCGCCACGAAUGCCUAUCCAAAUCCGGAUUUACAUCGUUACUUACGGCACCACCAAUCACCAACGUACGUGGUACUGAAAGGUGAAGCCAUGUUUCACCUUUACGUACUGCUGGCUGCUGGGAGAGGUGAUCGAGUCACCACGUAAAGUCGAUGGAGAAACUCGUACACAACUGCUCUUCUUCUUUACCCUAAAAAAAAAGAAAGAAAAACUGCUCAUGUUUUGCAUGGAGACAGAGUGCGCACCUAGCUUUAAUCGACGGCGCCCUAUUUGACCUUCGAUCACUCCCAUUUAAGUAUUUUAACUAUAUACCUUGCUAAUAACAAUAUUAAUACACUCUUCUUGUACCGGCUAAGCACAAGUCAGGUAAAUCUUGGUUACUAUAAAUUUUCUUAUCUUUCGAGAAACUGAUCGGUAUGUACAAUGGGCCAAUCGUUCUAACCGAAGAAUCACGAAAGUGAAUCUAUAUCCUAGUUUUAUUUUAUACAUAACACGUACGCUCUCAUGCGCGUCCACGCUCUGGCUCGCAUCGACACUGAGAUCGAGGAACCCACCUAUAAAUAGAGCUGAGACUUCGGCUAGCCUCCAGCGUCCCAACCCUAGCUCAGCUCACUCCCAUCACUAGAGAGAGAGAGUGUGUCAGUCAGUGAUCACUGACAACAGUAGGAUUUUUUUUUUAAAAAAGGAGCGAACGACUAGUGAGUAUCGACCGAUCUGACGGCAGCAUGGACGACACCACGUACAACGCCAUCCUGGUGGCGCUCCUGGCCGUGUCCAUCCUCCUGUUCCUCCGCCGUGGUGGCUCCCGGCGCCGCCCGCCGGGGCCGCGCACGCUGCCGGUGGUCGGGAGCGUGCACCACGUGGUGAACACGCUGGUGCACCGCCGCCUGCGCGACCUGGCGGCCGUGCACGGGCCCAUCAUGACGCUCAUGAUCGGCCCGACGAUGCCGCUGGUGGUGGUGACCUCGCGGGAGCUCGCCCGCGAGGUGCUCAAGGUGCAGGACCCCAACUUCGCCAACCGGCCCCGGCUCCUCGUCGGCGGCAUCUGCGGCUACGGCUGGGCCGACAUCAUCUUCGCCCCCACCAGCGACUACUGGCGCCGGAUCCGCAAGCUCUGCAUCCACGAGGUGCUCAGCCCGAAGCGGAUCCUCUCCUUCCAGCACAUCCGCGAGGAGGAGGUGCGGCGGCAGGUGGAGGCCAUCCGGGCCGCGGCGGCCGCCGGCGCGCCGGUGAACGUGACGAGGAUGGUCUACGACAUCAGCAGCCGGACCAUCUCGAGGUCGUCGUUCGGGGAGGUGAGGCCCGACAUGCCCGUGUUCCAGGACGCCAUCAAGCGCGUCAUCGGGCUGUCCAGCGGCUUCAACGUGCCGGACCUGUUCCCCAGGUUCAGGGAGGUGCUCGGCGAGGUCAGCGGGAUGAAGCGAAAGCUCCGGGAGAUACACCGGACGUUCGACCGCAUACUCGUCGACAUCAUCGAGAAGAGGCGGGGGGAGCGCGCCGCGAGGAUCGCCGCCGGGAAGGAGGUCGUCGACGAGGACGUCGUCGACGUCAUGCUCACGCUGCAGCAGAGCGGCGACAACUCCUGGGGGUUCCCGGUCACGGACAACACCAUCAAAGCUGUCGUCUUGGUAUCUUACUGCAUCUUUAAUUUCUUUCUUAUUUUGAAGCAAGACUUUAUUCCAUCCGAUUCGAUUUCAUAUAGACAAAAAAAAUUGUGCAGGAUAUGUUCGCCGGCGGCACGGGGACGUCCGGCUCGUCGACGGAGUGGGCCAUGUCGGAGAUCGCGCGGAACCCGCGCGUGAUGAGGAAGCUGCAGGAGGAGAUCCGGAGCACGUUCCGCGGGAAGGAGACGAUCACCGAGACGGACCUCCGCAACAGCGACCUCAAGUACCUGAAGCUGGUGAUGAAGGAGGCGAUCCGGCUGCACCCGGCGGCGCCGCUGCUGGUGCCGCGGGAGAGCAUCGGCGCGGCGGAGCUCGGCGGGUACGUGGUGCCGGGCGGGUCGCGGAUCGUGGUCAACGCGUGGGCCAUCUCGCGGGAUCCGCGGUACUGGAGGGACCCCGAGGAGUUCCGGCCGGAGCGGUUCGCUGAGGACGGCGCGCCCGACUUCCACGGCCUCCACUUCGAGUUCACGCCGUUCGGGGCCGGCCGUCGGAUGUGCCCGGGGUACAACUACGGGCUCGCCGGCAUGCAGCUGGCGCUGCUGCAGCUCAUGUACCACUUCGACUGGAGGCUGCCCCCCGGCGUGGACGAGGUCGACAUGGAGGAGGCCAUGGGGCUCGGCGUGAGAAGGAAGAACCCCCUCAUGCUCUGCGCCACUCCCUACGUCCCCGCUGCUCCGGCAGUGUCCGCCGGCUAACAGCUGGGUGCUCGAUUUUGAAUAAGUUGAGACUGCUCGGAACUUCCAUCCUCAACAAAAAUCUCGAUUGUCUUUGUCCUGGGACUAAAGAGACUUUAGUCCUAGGUCUAAAUUUUGUAGUCCGUGGAGACACCUAGAGGUGAUCUUUAGUCCCGGUUGGUAAUACUAACCGGGAUUAAAGGAUCCCCCACGAGUUAUUACAAAAGAAUUGCAUCCCCUACUCAGUUAAAUGUGCUGUGUAGGUGAGAUGGUAAGAAAACUAUACGUGAGGGGAGCCGACCUUUAACCAGGAGGUCUGAGGGUGAGGCUCCAUCCUUUGGACCGCCCACGAUGACCUGCAGGAUGAGACCAUGCGCGGCCGUACACGCCCACACGCCCUGGCAUCAUCAUCACCUUCGCUGUUAAGGAGAUCCGUCAAGAUCAAGGCCAUACCACCGCGCCAGGCUCGGUACGGUCCCGCAGGCGAGGUGAGACCUAGCGACAGACGUUACAACGAGGAGCGGCCAGAGCGCACUAAAGAGGUUGGGGAAAGCCGGGACGAGCGGCGCGCCCCAUCCAGGCCACUAAUCACGGCCCGCCCAUUUGUCACCAGUAUGGACGACAACAGGACCCGUCCCAUUCACUGCCACGGAGUUGGCGGAUGAGAUGGGAGCACACCACGGAGUAGGCCGGGCCAUGCGUAAGAAACUCACGUCGCACAGGAGCUACCGUACAAGGCGUGCGAAGUCCACGAAUAGCCAAGGGGACAGGACAAGCAGGCCUCUUGGUGCAAGGAAGACCUGACCACACCACAACCCCCUUCAUUUCUCAAUAUUGUUGCCUGGUCCCUGACCUAUAUAAGGGGAACCAGGCCUUCUCUCUCUCGCAUUCAACGCAUACACCCACACAUCGCACGAACGCUUGCUUGCAACUACCCCAUUGUAAGUCCAGUGCACUUGAUCCAAGGAACAUGACUCUUGCCAAAACUGAAUGUAGUGAUUUUUCCUAACCAGUGUAACUCCUUGUCUCUUGUGUGCUAGCCAUCGGAAGUGAGGAGAGCGCGGUGUACAAUCACUAGUCAGCGGUCCAAAACACCGAUACUCAUGCAUCGCGCACGCGCAUAUUUCGUGUGAAAAAUUGCGUGACUUGUGACUUGUGACGUGCGUGUGUGUGGGGGCCUCCUAGGAAUUUAUAAUAUUUUUUGCACAAAAUCUGUUAGUCCCAGUUGAUAUUACCAAACGGGACUAAAGGAAGGUCUUUAGUCCCGAGUUGUCUAAAGACCGCAACAUUUCUUCUCCAAUAUGACGAAGGUUGUCUAAAGGCUAUUGGUUUGUGUUCUCACCGAACUAUGGAGGUUUGAAGCAUAAAAUGCCAACAUUAACGGUCAUGUGCUAAGUCUCUUGGUUAGAACGGUGUGUUGGACCUCAGCAACAACCAUCUGACGGGUCCUGUUUGGAGACAUUCACAAGCCAUAUGAUACAACACUUCAACCUCAACAACAUUCACAAGCCAUAUGAUACAACACUUCAACCUCAACAAUGACAAAAAUGUUUUGCGACACGUACAUUCUAAAUAGGUGCUAUGCUCACCAUCAAAGGUGUGCUCGAGAUUCUUGUAGGAAGGAGGGGGGCAUGUGCCCCUUUAUUUCUUAAUUGGAAAACUAAAAGAAUGAAAAAGAAAGAAGAUGACAAAAUGGUUGUUGGCCAUUGAGUUAUGAACUGUCGUGUUGGUCCACAGACUCGGUGUAUCUCUCCGGGAACAUGCUUCAAGGGCUAGUGCCGGUGUUCGUAUGCCACAUGCAAACUGAUGUUGUUGAGGUAGCCAGAAAAGGGAACUUCUGCCAGCUGGACCCAGCACGUGUGAUUUAGAUGUUUAAAAGUUGCUGUCGAUAGCCACUGUUUUACAUUUCCUUGUGUCCCUUGCGGAGAGCUGACGGCGCAACAACACCUAUGCGGGUUGGCUUAGUAUACACACUACGCCACGAAUAAGGAAAAUGACCAUCACAGGGUCGUUACAGGGAUCAACAUGUCUCGUGUAUUCCUCAAUGGAACCAUCCACCUGACGUUCUCCAAUCUUUUGUCUCUUGAAACAAUCAUUUUGUGUGGCAACAACAUCAGUAGCACCAUCCCACUAGUCCUCACGCAGCUGUCGUCGCUCCGCCUCCUAACAUUUCUGACAAUGUGCUGCAGGGCAGCGUGCCCAAGUUCAUCCAGUGGCCUGGAGGUAUGGGUGGAGGGGAACCCCGAGCUGAUUGUCUCCAGCGUCUCACCGUCAAACAUGUUAGAUGCACUUCACCAUCGUCUUUGUGGUUGUGGUAGUGCUAGUGUCGAUCAUCUAGUUUACGCCUUCAUAGCUGGUCUAUCUAGUUUACACCUUCAUAGCCGAUUUGUUUGCAAUCCGGCUAAAUGGGUACUAUAUUUACCAUUAAAGAUUAUAUUUACCAUUAAAGGUCUGAUCGAGAUUCUUGUGUGUGUUGGGGAGGGGGGGGCAAGUGCUCCCUAAAAAUAAAAGAACGAAAAAGAAGAAGAAAGAAGAGGGUCAACUAAAGGGGUGUUGACCUUUGGGUUAUGAACCGUCUGGUUUAAAUCAUGAAUAUAUAAAUCAUUUUAUUUUUUUAGUUAGAAAACCUUCGUAACUUUGAUAACACAUACUUACUCGUAAAUAUAAGUCCAUUUAGGUUUAUUCUAAGCCAAACAUUUUCUAAAUUUGACAACCGAUAUGUAAUAUUGAUUUACAAUUGUUUGUCAUGAAAUACACUUUGACAAUAUAUAGCUCUUUAUAUGAAACAAUAUGUUUUUAUGGAUAAUUACAGUAAAAAGGUAAAUUGGAGACUGUGUUUGUGCCCAAUAAACUUGUAUUUAUGACCAGAAAAAAUAUUACAAAGAGUUUAGAUAUAUUUCCGAUAUAAGAUUGAUGUUAGUUGAUUCAAAAUUUUAAGUGAUUUAUCUUUUUAUCUUUAGAUAUCAUAUUUUUUUUAUUAAAGUUGAUAGUCAAAGUUCCAUCUUGUAGAUAUCAAUGUCCUAAAGCAAUUAUAUUUUCAACCGAGAGGGAGUAAUUAACAUAUAGAUACAGGAUCAAAAAGCAUUCUCCCUUCCACGCAAUACUCCGUAUGCCGCUAUAUACGAUUGAUUGUUUGAUUUCCUGUUUAUAUCAUCAUAUGCAAGUAGUAAUCAACAUACAGCUGCACAAUGAUAUGAUUGCUUGGCCACAAUCUACAGACUGGUUUAUAGUAAUGAAUUCUUUAUUGCUUGUUUUUUAUUUGGUAAUAAUAUUUUCCAAUAUAUAUUCCGUAAACAUGCAUGCAUGCAUUCCGGUAAUGUGAAGCUUUUCUGUUUGGAAGGACGUGAAUUAUGGAAGUUUCUGUAAGAGUGAUGACGGCAACCUAAUAUAGUACGUGGUCGUAGUCGGGUUGAGUACACCACAAAACACGAAAACUUUGAAGCAAUAUUGCAAGAGUACUCGCGAAAUCGAUCUAAUGGCAUGCCGAACGCCGAUGCCGGUUCUUGCCGUCCUGGUGAUCCUCGGCGCCCUCCCCUGGAUCAUAGCCGCGGCGCCGGCGAGCCCUGACGACGCCGCGGCCAUGCAAUCCAUCGCUAACACAACCGGCGCCGGCAAGGCGCGCUCGGCUGGGGCGUGAAAUCGGCCGACCCUUGCGACGGCUCGUGGGUGGGCGUGAGCUUCGACGAUGCCCGCCGCGUCGCCUCCAUCCGCGCCAGCCGCGCCGGUCUGGCCGGCUGGCUUUACGCGUCCGACCUCAGCAAGCUUACCUUCCUGACCGAGCUCGACCUCGGCUUCAACGGUCUCACCGGGCAAACCGGCGGCGACCUCCCCCUCCUCCCGACGCCGCUGCAGCACCUCCGCACCCUCGACCUCCGAUCCAACCGCUUCCUCGGCGUCCCCGAAGGCUUCUUCGCCGCCUUCCCCGCCCUCGAGACGAUAAACCUCGACGACAACCCCACGGUAGGCCCGAGAUUCCGGCCGGACGACGUGCUAACCUGCUCCGGCCUACAGAGCUUCUCGGUCAACAACAUCAGCCUGUCGCUGUUCCCGGACUACCUCGGCAGCGCCGCCGCGUUCCCGGCCCUAGAGAGCCUGUCGCUCGCGAGGAAUGAGCUCCACGGGGCCAUACCAGCCGGCUUCGGGAACGACGGCAACAUAGUUCCUCGACGUCAGUGGUCAGAGUUCACUCCUCACCGGGCGCAUAGACCAGUUCAUCGCCGCCAUGAAGAGCCUCGUGGAGGUCCGGUUGGAUCACGAUGCCUUUUUCGGACCGCUCCCUGACGCCACCAACCUCGUGAACCUGCGCGUCUUUGAUGCUGCCGGCAACAAUUUUGUGGGGUGCCCAAGUUCGCCAACACUGUUUCAGUCGAUGUUUCUGCAAACCCAAGAAUCGACAAGCCAUGCUAGCUCCUGUACUUCUUCUUCUUCUUCUUCUUCUUUUGCAAUUGCACGGAGGCAAGGAGCACUAAGUUAUUCUUGAUCGUGCGUGAUUCUUAGUGGUUUUAAAUAAUUUUCUGAUAUCAUCUAAGAUUCGAAGAGGAAAGGAAAAUAGAGUGUGCAAACCGUUAUAUCAAUAAAUGACUCGUAGAGCCAUAUAAAGUCGAUGGUACAUGGGCCAAGAUGGCAAAAUUGCUACAUCACUCAGCCAUCUCUAUAGGCACAAACAAGCCAGCACUACAUGUAGCAACAAAGAAGAGCCUGCCAAAGAAUGAAGUAACACGGACUGCAAAGAGUUGAUCAUAAAUCAUAAAAAUAAUUCAACAUUUUUUUCGGAAAAAAAUAGUUCAACACGAACGCAAGGAUUGUGGAUUUGUAGAGCAGCUCUAAGAAGGCAGCUUGUGGCACUCUUUGGAUUUGCUCGACUUGAGCAUUCCCAUUUCAUCAUCAUGUAAUGCAAAUGUGUGAUUUCCUUCUUAAAUUUGUGAGACAGGUUGUGGUUGUUUCCUGGUUAACAGUAGGUUUUUGUUACAACUUACAAGACAGUCAUAUCAUGAAAGAAACAAACAGCGCAGAACAGAACUAUGAGCAUAUAUUCUGUGCGAAGAGCAGCUGACAGUUUCGAACACAAACAAAAAGUAUCUAAGAUUCUUUUUCCUAGCAGGCCUGGCCAAAUAGACAGGUAUGUAGCACGCAAAUGCAAUCGCCCUCCUUCUUUAGAUGCGCACUGGAGUGUUUCACUGCACAUAUCAUGUGGAGGCACAGACAGAAGUAGUCCAAGUCGCUGUUGUGGGAUGAAAAAAAUGGAAUUCGCUGCGAAUAGCAUCUGGGAUGUGGUUUGCUAGGCGAUCAUGCAUGUUUCCAGGCUUCCACCACAUGUACACCUCUGCAAAACUAGGAAAAUGGAAGUCUGGAACAACCGAACAGAGUCCUUAUCACGGAACCCCAACGCAUCUCAAAGCGCGUGGCACACUGGCACUUGAAGUUAUUAUAGUGCAUAAUAUUCUCAGCGAAUUCAACCCCCCCACGCCCCCCCCCCCCCCCCCCCCCCCCCCCCACAAAAAAAAAACAUCCCACACACCAGCACUCCGCACGCACCCGGCAGUCGUGGAUUGCUUUUGCUUGGUUGGCGUCUGUCAGGUGUCCGCUACUUGAAGAGUGUCACAUUUUCACCUCAGAGCUCCUCAACCUGUUUACAAGGACCUAAAUUGUAUGGAUGAACCAUUUGGGGACUAAUGGUCUCCAUAUUCCAUUUUGGGAAUUUACUGAAUACUUGCUAGCCAGGAUUUUAAAGGGUCAGCCCUUCAUACAAAAGGGUCUCCCCCUCCAGCCAGUUAACUUUUUUUAUGAUUUUAUCCACAAUAGAUUGGAUAUCUUCUUUUCUAGCUUAGAGUAGUGAAAAGAAAUGCCUAGAUAUGUAAAAGAGCGACUACCAUUCUUAUAGCAAAAAUGUCUGGCACAAGCACUCACCUCCUCCUCCUCCUCCUCUAAGCCUAUCCACAUCAUGUCACUCUUUUCAUAAUUGAUUUGUAAAGUUCAUGGAACGGCCGGCUCAACCUCUCAGGAUUAGCGCAGCUCUCUAUUUAUAUCCUGGAAUAUUACAAGUGUUUGAGUUACACAGGACUCAAGUCCUAAACGUAUGGUUUCACUAGCUGGUCCUAGUAGGAUCUUAAAACUCUAGCGCGCCUAUGCUAGGAUAAUAAUCCUACUCGUAUUACAUGUACACUAUCCUGAUUUUCAUCCCUGAUAGCUGUUCAAGUAGAUCCGGAUCCAUUUAAAAUUUCUGGCUUUAUUGUAUAGGUCAUUGUUAAGAAAGAGGGAGGUGUCAUCAACAUAUUGUAUGCUGAUGACCAUACUAGGAGUCCAGGACACAUUCGGCAACAAGCCAAAGACUACGCCCUGCCGCUUUCAUCAACAUUCUGGUGAACACACCUAAGCCCUUGUUUACUUCACCCCCAACUCCCAACUUUGGCACUAUGCAAAACGAAGAUUCCCCAUCACAUCAAACUUGCGGUACAUGCAUGGAGUACUAAAUAUAGAUGAAAUUAAAAACUAAUUGCACAGUUUUGUUGCACUUUGCGAGACGAAUCUUUUGAGCCUAAUUAGUCAAUGUUUGGGCAAUAAUUCACAAAUACAAACGAAACGCUACAGUGUGCUACAGUGCCAGCACAGUAAUUUGGCACCUCCCAAUUUGACCAACUAAACAAGGCCUAAAUUGAAGAGAAGGGGGGGCUGGGGAACAGGGGCCCCACUGCUUAGGCCCUGUUUGGUUCCUUUAGGGACUAAACUAAACUUUAGUCCCCCUUUAUAUAGGGAUUGAAGUUUAGUCCCUCCUAUUUGAUUCUAGUGACUAAAGGAUAUUAAAUGAGUUAAACAAUGACCAACAUGCCCCUAAUCAUUGCUACCCCUGCCCUUCUUCUUUCUCUACCUCCCCACGUAGGCACGCAUAGCACACGCGCGAGCGGCAGUGCGGGGGUACGGAGGCGGCGCAGGGUGGCCGGGUGCGGCGGGGUGGGGUGCGGGGGGGGGGGGGAGCUAGUCACAGACGGGGCAUUAAUGAGGGGUACAGGGUGUCUAGGGUACCUUUUAGUCCUCAUAAACAACCCCUUGGAGACUAAAGGGCUAAACUUUAGGGAAUAAAGUUUAAUAAAGUUUAGCAACUUUUAGUCACCCUGUUUGGCAUUUUAGGGACUAAAAAGGGACCAAACUUUAGUCCUAAAGUUUAGCAAGAGCAAACCAAAAGCAAACCAAACAGGGUCUUAAGCACCUUCCCUGUUUUGAAAUAUACAAUGUUUUUCAAGAAGCCCUGGUUGCCUCUAAGAGGGUAUCCAACAGUUUGAGAUAGUUCCUAGCUCAACGGGAAAGAGAAAUAAAAGUAAGUUGGUCUAGGAGAAAUAAUAGUAAGUUGGUCUAGGAGGAUAGCUCGAGGCUCAUGCAGUGAGAGGGAAGAGUAUUGGGAAACGUGCAGCUCUUCACCACAAGCUAGCUAGGAUAUUUUUACACUGUUCAUUAUUUAAAACCUCUUGUUGGAGACACCUAACCAUACUCCUCACCAAUCACCCGUCCGAUCCAUUUACCAUCAAAACCCCGAGAUGUUAACAUCUCAUCUAGAAAGUCCCAAUUCAUCCCGUCAUUACCUUCUCGUAGCCAUGUUUAUGUGUAUUAAUCAUAAAGCAUCUUUUUGCCGAAUAAUCAUAAAGCAUUAGAGAUACUUGACAUGUUGCCUAAUCGAUUUCUGUGAUCAGAUCUCCUCCCCAUCGUAAAUUGUAAGUCAUUUUAGCUUUUUUAAGUGUACACAUGUUUGUAUGCACCUAAAUAUAGUUUAUGUCUAGAUGCAUACAAACACCUAUAAAUUUAGAAAAGUCAACCUAAAAUUUGAAAUGAAUCUAAAAAAGUUAAAAUGAUCUAAAAUUUUGAAACGGAGGAAGUAGCAAGGAGAAAUAUAGAUCUUCUUUUAUAUAACUAUACAGGUGCAUCAACAGUUCAGCAUUCCCUGCCGACCUUUGGGUUUCCACCAAGGUCGACGUCAGUUCCCGCGGGGAACUUGGGAAUACCACACAGGUCGUUGGUGGCGACGCUGACGCGACGGAGGUUCGCAAGAUGGGUGGCGUCCGGCAGUGGCCCGAAGAAAUUGUUGUGAUCCACACGGAGCUCCACGAGGUUCUCCAUGCCGGUGAUGAAUCUCAGGAUCCCGGUGAGUUUGCUGUAGCGGCUGUUCUGGGCGCCGACGUCGAGGAACUUGAUCUUGCUGUUCACCCCAAAGUCCGGACGUACGACUCCCCACAGCUGGUUCCUCGCCAGCGACAGGCUCUCCAGGUCCGGGAACAAGCUGGCGUUGCCGAAGAAGUUUGGGAAGAUGUUGUCCAUGUUGACGUUGUUGGCCGAGAAGCUCCGGAGGCGGCGGCAAGCGGUCACGUCGUCCUGGAGGACCGCCGGGUCGGACAUGUCGUUGUCGUCGAUGGCGAACGUCUCGAGCGCCGGGAACGCGGAGAAGAAGCCGUCGGGGAUGUUCAGGAACCUGUUGGAGCGGAGGUCGAGGACGCGGAAGCUGGUGAGCGGCUGCCGCAGGCGGGGCAGCUCGAAGCGGCCGCCGACCUCGUUGAAGCUGAGGUCGAGCUCGACAAGGGACGUGAGCAGGCUGAGGUCGGCGGGGGGAAGCGCGCCGGAGAGCCCGCCGCGGCUGGCAUUGAUGGAGGUGACGCGGCCCGCGCCGUCGCAGCGAACGCCGGCCGGCCCAGGUGCCGCCGCAUGGGUCGGGCGAGCGGACGCCCCAGCCGAGCGACUUGGCGGCGCCGGUCGAGUCCGCGAUGGAUUUCAUGGCCGCGGCGUCGUCAGCGUUCGUCGGCACCCCAGGUGGGAGCGCCGACGAGGAGGAGGAACACCACAGACUAAGAUGGCAAUGGGGACCCGCGACCCGAUACCUGACAGGUAUUUACUCCAUUAGGAUCCAAAUAUGGACUAAACAAAGUACCCACGGGUACGUAAAUGGACCAAACCCUUCACCCAUCGGGUACGCGGGUAUGGGUAUGUUCCAACAGUCCCCAUACCCGUUAACCCAUGGGUGAAAAAUACCCGAUCCAAAAGUAGAGAAGCCCACCAGUCCAUAAGGUAACCCUAAGUAUAUAAUCUUAUCCCCAUUCCCCACCCCUCCCAACCCUAUCCCACCCAGCCACCAGCGCACCACUGGUCCCCUGCCGGUCGUCGAAAAAAAAAGCGCACAGCGCUAGCUUCGCUAGUCGCUACUCCUACUCACCACGACCGCCGCAAAAAACAAGUCAACAGCGCCUGGCCGCCUGCACGACUGCGCCCGCCUUGUGACCUCGUUUUGCUUUUGCAUCGCUGACUCACUGUCGCACUCCAUCCCAAAUCCAAGAGCCAGGAAGCCGCCACAUCCGAUGCCAUGCCGCCGACAGAGCAAGGAAGCAUCAACGGAUGGUGAUUCUUCUCCAUUCUCCUUCUCCCCUUCAUAUGCUUUGUAGGCACCAGGCGCCCAGGCGCUCCUUGCCUUCUUCAGUCCUUCUCCCUCGCACUAACCACCUUGUUCACUAUGGCGUCAAGGAACAUCGUGGAGGUCCUCGAAGACGGUGACUGCCUGAAGCUGCUGGAUCCCAAGCUCGUCGACGCCGUGAAUAAACUAUUAGUGGGUACGGGUGACCCGUCGGGUAUGAUUUACCCGGUCGGGUAUGGAUCUGAGGAAAAUUCCCCACCCAUAGCGGGUAUGAGGAUUCUGGCGGUCUCAAAAUUUUAUGGCAGGGAUGGAUCUGAGGUGACCAUACCUGAUGGGGAUUUAACCAUUGCCAUCCUUACCACAGACGCCGACACGUUGAUUGAUGGGGACAUCGAUCGAGCAGGGAAUUUGCAUUCGCCCACUUAUGUACAGGUGGUUCUUGCCACGCAUGCAGCCGUGCCAUCAUGGUAGUACUAUGGAAGAAAUUUAUUGCCAUCAAAUUACUUGCUUUACAGCAAAUCGAAUAUGGCAGGAAAUCACUUGAUGUUUGGAAUGAGGAGAUGGCGUCUCAUUGAUUCCGAAUUAAAAAGGAAAUCACUUGAUGCUUGAAAUGAGGAGAUGACGUCUCAUAUUUGUGGCACGCAAUACGAUACGAUAUCUCCAAAUUAGGAGUAUCUGAUUUCGCCAUUUAUAAGCAAUUCAAAAACACAUCUAAUCUCAGAUGUUGCACGAACUAUAAGCGUUGAGUAAUACUUCCUCCGUCCCAAAUUACUAUUCAUUUUGGAUUUUCUAGAUACGUAGCUUUUACUAUGCACCUAGAUAUGUAUUAUGUCUAGAUACGCAGCAAAAGAUAUGUAUCUAAAAAGUCAAAACGAAUAGUAAUUUGGGACGGAGGUUGCAUGGAAAUGGCAUGCGCCACUUGACCUCGCAGACGUAUACUAUCCAGAGCAAUUUGCUCGGUACCACUGAAAAGCAGCAAAGACUAUCUGCUCUCUGAAAGGGAGAGAGAACUUUGCCCUUGCUACCGUCCUCCUGAACCUGACUGCUCCCAGUCCGACAACAAGACCGACUCCCGUUGCCACCGCGCACCAGUUACCUCCACCCUCCCCACCACAACACUAGCUGCCACCACGACUCCACACACGCCCAGUGACCCGACCCCCAAGCACAAGACCAGUUCCUGGGCACGCUGCAGAUUAUAUUGAAUCAAAACUAAAAUCUCCUGCUAGAACGGUCUCAGAAAAAAGACAACUCAUCCUAGCUUCAGCUCCUCCUCCACCAUCCAAGUAGACAAAGUAUCAAACCGCAGGCAAAGCUAUACUCUAUAGUUGUACACUAAUCUCUUUCUGUUUUCCACUAAAACAAUUAGCUAUACUUCGCACGAGGGAAGAUGAUCCUCCAGAAUUUAUUUCAGUAGUGACCUGGAUCCUAGCAAAUGCUCCACGGAUUUAAUUUAUUUCGGUAGAGAUUUGGAUCCAAAUCCAACUUGUCCAACACAUGCCGCAAGUAGUGAGUACCAGCAUAAGCAACUAGCGACUAAAGCAAAGAUGAACAGUAAUUGUCUAUAUGCUACAGCUAAAUGCAGAACAGUGUUCUUUGGAUUUCCUGGAGAUGUAAAAAUUCUUGAUACCUUACCUUUCAGCUUAAGGCUGGUCCAAGUCCACCACCCAGAAGGAUCAUCAGCCAUAUAACUCGUGGGAAGUCUCUGAAGCUUGUAUUACCUGGAGCAUUGAAGAUCUAUGCUAGACAAAUGAAGGCAUUGAAGGAGUGUUAACUUCUAGACAGAUUCUAUCUGAAGUUUCGUGUCUGAGGCUCGGAGCAGUCAGCUUGAGCAUUGCAACUGUCUGAAUUGUCUAAAGCCCUUGCUCUAUAGAAAUGGAACUGGGCAUCUAUUUGAUGUUCUAUGAGUGUAAAUGGAUAUAUUUGUCUUCUGCAACACUGCUUAAGCCCAAAGCAAUCAGCAAAUACCACUAGCAAGCAGCAACCUCUUUUCUGAACAAAGUGUCCUGUACUCCUGUUACAUGGUUCUAGCUAUUGCAUGCUCAGCAGCAUGCAAGAGAGAAAUUGGUCAAGAAACUAGAUAGAUCAUGUAGCAGAUCACAAUGCAACUUUGAGGUAAACAUGAGACCUAAAUUUGGACCUUUCUAAUACAUGCAUUUUUUGCAAAAUAUGGACAUUUAUUAUCCCUUCGGCAUAAAUAAACAUAAACAGGAAAAGGAAACAAAGAUUCACAAGUUGCAAUCCAUCACUAGCAAGGCCAAGAAAAAGGAAGUAAAGGAAGUAACAAAACAAUCAUCAUCCUGUAUAAACAAAAGGUAGGUAUCAAAGCAAAUAGUAUGAAAGUUAAAAAAUAGCAACUUAGUUUACAUGGAUGCUCAACUGUCUUGCAGUAUUACUCUAAAAAAAAACUGUCUUGCAGUAUUACUCUAAAAAAAACUGUCUUGCAGUAUUUAUCAGGUCAAAAGUAUGAGUACGAAUACAUACAAGCACCAGCAAAUAUAUCACCUAAUUAGAGUAGUAGCCAAGAUGCUAACUUCUCCAAAUGGAAUUCUUGUUUAAUGUCCUGAUGAGUAGUUGAGGACCCCAUAAGCAACACGUUCAAUACUUAUUACUCAGUGCUGGUAACUCUGAGAAAUAGGGAACAUAUGAAGCAAACCCAAAGGAGUCACUGACAGUGUGGAGAGCACACACUUCCCCAGUGUCCAUAUAAUAAGAUAUCAGUUUAUCAUUCCAUUUAAAGAUGAUUACAUCACGAUCAGGAUGAAUGGCAACCACAUUGUAGUCAAUUCCAGCUUUGCAACUCUUUUCUCCAAACAGGUGCAAAAAGCUCACAGUAUGUUUGAGUACCAGUUCUUGCGUAUCACCUUCCGGAAGAAUCCAGAUGAACAGUUCAUACUCCACAUCAUCAUCAUCAUUAUAUUCACUAGCAGACCGUUCAGAAGGGCCAUCAUUAUUAGUAUAGUAUUCUGGUUCCUCAUGGUUGACAUAAUGCACAAGGCCUUGGGAUUGACCAACAAAAUCAGACAGGAUACUACACUGUUCCUUGCACAUCCGAAAAGGGACAGGGAUGAAUUUCCUUGUCUUCCCUUCCACGUCCACGGCAAUGAUGUGAUCCCCGUCUAAUACCGGCGGACCCUCUCCUAGUGAAUCACAGAUCAGAUAUAGCAUGCCGUUGACAACAGCUCUCUUCCUCUCAGGUUCUAAGCUAUAGCUCUCAUAGCGCCAUCUUUCACAUGGGGCUUGCUUUUCUUCCAGGCUCCAGGCACUUUCACUGUGAGUCCAUGCCCCAGUUUUCGACGAAAAGAUCUGCACCGAUGUCACGCUGGUGAACAAGUCAUCGGUGAACUGGAGCAAGUAGACAUGGGAAGACAUGGCCGGACAGAAAAUCAAAUGAACAGACAUUCCGUUGCACGGCGAUGGAGUCCAGCCGAAGUCAGGCACAGCCAACCAUUGCUUCGUCGCGGGGUUGCACACGACAUAGCUAGGUAUCGAAUCAAAAUCAUAACCACCACGGUCAAGGAGGAGGAGCCCGUGACAGGUAUCCAUAAUCCUAAUGCUCUCAGAACCAUGCAGCUUCCUGAGGAACGAGAAAAAGGGAUCCACGAGGGGCAUUGAUCGUCCCAACAGGUCCACGAACCCCACCCAGCCAUGGCUACGAAUGUUAUCGUCGCCGGCACCUUCAUCGUCCCCGUCGCGAUCGCGGCGGUGGUGUAUCUCGUAGAAUAAACCCACAAGGGUUUGGGGGAGCUUACAGCGGUGGAUGGGGUUGGCGAUCAGGUCGCGCCAGGCCUUGGAGACGCACUUGAAUCGGCAGAGGGAUCUGAAGGGGACGCGGGAGAGGAUCUCCACCAGAGGAUCAUCGGGGAGGCCGGCCACCUCAGGCGCCUCGGGGUCGGGGAAGUCCAUGCCACCGGGAACGGGGGCGACGCCGCAGAAAUAAACUGCGAAUCGGAGGACCCGGAUCUAUGAGGGGAUGACCGCGAGAGGAAACGAGAUCUGGGAGGGCGGGGGGUAGCGUACCGGUCGUCGGAGAUCGCUGGACUCGACGAUCGGCGGCGCCGGCCGCCGGAGCCGCGACCGGAAGACCAGCUCCGCCGGCGAGGUUCAGCGAGUGCGGUCGGUACCGAGCUGCCGAUGCGGCUCGCAGGAUAUGGCCAAGCGCCCGAGAAAGGAUAGGAAUAAAUAGCUUGGGGAAUUUGGAAAUCGGGAGGAAGAAGAGGAGCCAAGAGCGGCGGCACCGUCUCACGUUUGCCUUUUGAGUUUACAGUUUGCACUGGCGGGAUUCGGGGGUUCAGUGUACGACAAGAGAUAGAGAGAGCUUGGAGCCCGGCCGGGGACGGGACCCCUUCACGGCUUCACUAGCACCGUUGAUCCUCCAUUAAGAUUAGAGAAUGAAUUAAUGGACGGGGAUUCUUGUUACUAGGCUUGACGAUGAAUGAAGUAUAAUAAAGUGUGAAUUAACCUUGCUCCAUUCUAGGUGAAAUAACCAAUGCAAGUUAGUCAUUGGAGGUUAAAAGUUAAAACUAAAGUGUGUGCUAGUGAAGAUGGUCUGUCCUGGCAACCCAAGCUCUUGAUUUCUCGCGUCCACUAGCUACACUCCCAAAUCUCGUGUCAGUGCAAACUGCAAAACUCCAAAGGCAAACGUGGGAGAUGCCACGGCUCUUGCCUCUUGGUUCCUGUCUCGUUCCUCCCAAUUUCCCCAAGCAAUUUCGGUUCCUCUCUCUUUUGUUACGGGAGAACGUACGUGUGAACCUGCUUGGUCCAUCCUAGGAGAAUAACCAAGUUAGUCCUUGAAGUUUUAGCUAAAGCUUGAAUGUCCAUCAAAUCCUUAAAACUAUAUCUUCUUUGAUUCGAAUUGGUCCUUGGAUGAUGUGGAGCGCCACAUGUCUGCAUGACAUGGCAACAUGUUGUUACCUAUCGUGGAUAGAUGUUGUGGCCUUGGUUUGUCGCUUACGCAUGUAAUUAACUCCAUAUCAUCUCAGGAACAUAAUUCGACCAGAGAGGGAUCAAGCAGCAACCAAAAGGACAAAACUUAAACUCUAUGGAGCAUAUUGAGCUUUGAGUGAAUUUAGGGUUGCAAAAGAUUAGGAAGCUGCCUGGCUCUAAGAGCAUUAUGCUCUUGAAUACCUAUAAAGGGCUUCCCCUUGAGCAUAGCUAAUAAUAUAAUUCACACACCAACGAGCUAUAUCGUGUGCAACUGUACUACAACGCAAUGAGUACCGACGACUAUGCUUAACUCUGGCAUGGACUCUGCCUCCAUACCAAGGAAACGUCACUAUAUGAUUUCAGACCGGACAUAUCUUACCACUUCUACCUGGUUCAGUUCACCAAUGACGUGUUCCUGACCAUAACAUAUGUGCACAUCUGCUCAUGAAAAGCUGGCAACGGACUUAUAAUGAAGGUGCCUUGAGUGAGGAUGGCAUUGGUCGAUCCAUGGAUCCAUUGUAGUUCAACUUCAUUAACUAUAUUUUAAAAUUUUGAGUAACUUAAAUUUUCAAAAUAGCUAAUUAAGUUGACCAACGAAUCCUCACUCCAUCCUCACCCAUAACCAGAACUCUAGAAGAAAGGCAAGGCUCAUGGAAAAGAUGGUGUUAUAAGAAAUGCUGCAUAGUGCAUGAGAAGAAUAGUACUGUUGUCGAUGGAAUGUUGUAUCCGGCCUGUGAUUCAGUAGGAGAGGGUCAUGUUUUCGAUGGAUCGGAGAUCACAAGACUGAGGGAAGACUCGCGAAAAAUAUCCUGUGCAGUUUCAGAUGCGCAAAGAACAGUGUAGUACAUUGUCCAAUUUUAUUGGUCAACCAAUCCUAAAAGCGUCUGCAUUACAUCAGUGGGGAGGAACCCAAUGCUGAGAAUAAUUAUCCUUACUUUUGGGAAUGUUAAAGAAUAUUUCUUACCAAAAUAAACCCCAAAACAUCAUCCAAAUUGUACUGAUUAGUUUUCCGAGAACUAAACAUAUUCAACGUGAAGUAGAAACAAAAAAUAUUGAAUCUUCUCUCGUGUCAAAAUCAGUAAACUUAUCUCUUUUGAGGACAUGAGCAUAAUUUUAGGUUGGGCCUUUUGCGAUGGCAUUUUAUGAAUUAUAGAGGCAUUUGUUCACAAUGAGGAAAUAAAUAAAAAUGGAUUUGUACCCAUGCAACAAACUGGAAUUCAAAAUUUCAACUUAGUAUAACUUACCCCCGCAGUGUGGUGCUUACGUCGAAGAACUCCAGAGUCUAGAUUACUAUCCUCCCUGUGAAUGCCUUUGGAGUGGAUGUAAAACCGCAAAAGCGUAGCCUGAAACACUUGGAACCUACAAGGACAAAGUAGUUUGUAUGGUAAAAUGUAACACUUGACCUCAUGCCCAUUCAAUCUGAAGACUUCUUAUGAUACUGGUAAAGCAAGAAUGGAAUGGUUCAAAAUAAAUGAUGAGGAUUUCAACACAUUCAAGGUGCAAAAAGGUACUACAUAAGUGCUUUAUAUUGGGACUAUCCAAGUGAUUUAUCAGUGCAUAUGCCAAAUAAAAUAUGAUAUGUUCUAGGUUAAAUAAUUCGAAUGUUCCCGAUAUAAAAAUAUUAUAAGCAUUUAAUGUGUAGAAGGUUCAGUAUGGCUUAUUGAUCACCGCCGAGCAACCUUAUACCCCAUCAGCCUCCUCACCACCCUUGCAUCUGCUGACAAGCACCAAAUUUACCCAUGACAGAGGGAUAGAUUGCCAGAUCUGGCUACAACUGUCAACCUUCUCUCCAUCUCAAACCUUCCUCAUGUGCGCCUCAGAUCUAGCCAAGAGAAGAGGAAUGACAUACCUAGUGCCAUCUUGGCUGAUGACAGCUUGGGCCCCUCAAUCAGUGAUGACUUCCUCUUUCACCCGUGAUGAUGCGUAGGCAAUGGCCACCUUCUCCGUACUAUCGCUCCAAGGAACAUUAUUUUCAUCCUUUUCACCGCCCUUCCAUGUGUGUCGCUGACGUGUGUGUUGGAUCUAGAUACGGUGAAAGGGAGGAGUGCCCGAUUUGGCUAGGAUUUUUCACAUCCUCACCAACUCAGGCCUACCUAUGUGUGCAACCACUGGAUCCCGACAUGGUAGAAAGGAGGGAUGCUAGAUCCACCAUCACCUUUGGCCUAUGACGGCUAUCCCUCGAUCAAAGAUGACUUGCUCUCAUGAAGUGGCGCGGCGGUGGAUCUCCCUUGGGACACCACCACGAUAGCUGGAGGUGGAGAAGACGCCUAUGAAGGGUUCCUUCAGCAGAUCGAUUUGGAGGGUGGCCGGGGGAUUGGGGCGAAGGUACGCCAGCAGUAGGAGAUGGAGCUGCUGACGGCCGCGGAUGAGGGGAGAAUGGGUGAGGAUGGGGGCUAUGCGGCGUUGUGGCGUGGAGUCUGGAGAGGCAAGGGUGGCUAACCCUAGCCGCACCGCUUUUAUGUGCGUGCGGGGAUAGCGCGCCCCUCUUGGGCCGAGUAAAAGGCCACAAGCCCACAAUGGCUUAGGAACAAGUUGGCUCUUCUAUGCACAUAUGAAAAUUUCAUCAGUCUAAAAAAAAUAUGAAAAUUUCAUGUGUGUUCUACCUAUAAUAUACAUGAAAAUAUUUUCUGUAUGUAUAUCAUCAUUUCCCUACCAAUGACUUAUAUGUUAAUAUAUAAUUUCCAUGUUAGCUCAGCCAUAACCUUAAAAAAAAAUCACCCAUAGGGAUAUUCUGGUUGCCAAGAAUAGUUGCCAACAAAUGCAUAUUCUAUUUCAGCCACAUAUGCACCACAUCCAUGGAAAAAAUAUACGAAUGGCACUUUGAGUUUUAUGUUUGUGAUUGUGGACACAUUCGGUUGAAAAGGGUCGCGGAUCCGUGUCAGCAAGCCACAACAUUACAAACUCACUUUUAUAAAAAGCAGAAACUAAUCUGAGGUGCACUAUCCCCUAUAUAAAGGUAAUUUUAGUCUACCUCCCUUGCUCAUGUAUCAAGAAACUGCCAACAAAAAAAAAAAAGUAGUUCUGCCAACUAUAUAGCAGUAUCUUGCCACCACAUAUUACAAACUUCCAAUAAAAUGAAUCAGCAAAUGUCAAAAUUGACUCGACGCCAUGUCAUCUAUGCUUAUCUGGACUCCAACAGUUUGUUUGCUAAAUGUCAAAACCUUGUUACAAAUCAAACGUUAGUCCAUCACUCAUUGAGAACUAUCAAAUUAGAGAUACAUACUAGAAAACAUUUAUACGUCUGUAUCGUAUCUUUAAAAAAACUAUAAGGUAGCAUACACAAUAAUUCAUAUAUUCGUUUGCAACGACGACCACUAGUUUAUGAACUGAAUUGAGAAGGCUAAUACACCAAUUUUGUACACAUAGGAGAGGCGACACCUAAAAUUCCCAAUACAAAGUAAUUUUGCAGUCAAUGUUGCAUUAUGCUGCCUGAGACAGUUCAACUUCAUAGCAGCAAGUGCGGUUUGAAACAACAAAAAAUAACUGAAAUCUCAGAUUCAAAACAUUGUCAUAUGGCAGUAUGGCUUGGCAACAAUCAGUUUCCCUCACAGUAAUUUCACACCGGCAUCUCUAAGAGAGUCUAUCACGGCCUUAACCUUGCCAUGGUACUUCUGUUCUCUUGACAUGGAGACAGAUACUGCAGGGAUACCCUUAAACAGCAAGCGCUCACCAAGCAGCUUUCCAAUCUUUGCUGCCGCAGCAACAUCCCGCGUUGACUCCAUGCUUGGCCUCAGGAGUUUCUCCUGAGAGCUUGCGGAGCAUGUGACUGUGGCCGAUGGAGUGUGUAUGACCUGAGCACUCACAAAAUUGUUUGUGAAAUGCAUCUUCAGAAUAUAGGGCUUCAGAAACUUGGUGAUUGCAGGAGCCAUAGCUGGUGGAGGGGUAACCAUAUCGUCUAAUCAAGCUGACCUGAACAAGGCCAUAAACAAGAUAAGAUAAUUAACCAAAGCACUGACAUUUCAUGCUAAAACUUAAGAUGGACAAGGAUAAAUGAACAAAUAACAUUGAAUUGUAUCUUGUGAUUAUAAAUGAUAAAUCCAGGAUUGCAUACAAAUAUAUUACAUAAAUGAAUGGACCACCAACACUUAAUGGUUCUUGUGACUCUAGGGAAAGCACACGAUAGUAUACAUCAUACUUCACAUUUAGGACAGAGAACUUCAAUGAUGCACUUAAGUAUUUUAGUAUGUAGGAUUAAAGCUACUGCCUUGCUAGAUUUUCUACCAUGUAAUUACACUGAUACCACAUGUUACAUCACAGAGUGAUAAUAUGAUUGCUUUAUCUUCCAAAAGCCAUUCAAGAGUCUACAAAAGAAUAGAUACUCCCAAAUUUGGCUUUGCCAUCCUAUAGCUGUUAAUCAACCAAUCAGGUGUUAACAUAAAUUAUUUGAACAAGGUGACAUACUUCAGAGUCUGAGUUUCUGAAGAACUAAUACAAAUACUAGACAUCAUCGACAUAGACGGAGCCAUAGAUUGCACAAUCAUCUUAGGAUGGAAAGCCAAAAUGCCAAAUCCAUCCUAUGUGGUUGCUGACAGCAGAGUCUUA
This 62529-nucleotide long non-coding RNA is filed under the name Setaria viridis. RNAcentral's name for it is "long non-coding RNA (SVIR_LNC010163)". Lineage: Eukaryota; Viridiplantae; Streptophyta; Magnoliopsida; Poales; Poaceae. The record is from RNAcentral.